This 55766-nucleotide long non-coding RNA is filed under the name Sorghum bicolor (sorghum). RNAcentral describes it as "long non-coding RNA (SBIC_LNC015522)". Lineage: Eukaryota; Viridiplantae; Streptophyta; Magnoliopsida; Poales; Poaceae. The record is from RNAcentral.
GACGCGGGAGUCCCGGCGGUAGUGCCCGCCGAGCAUGUAGUGGCCGACGUAGCCCUCGCAGCUGCCCGGCACCGUCGUCCAGUCGCGCUUGUUGUACGUCUCCACGGCCAGCCGCCAGCUGUCGCACGGCACGCCGGCGCGCAGGCCCAGGUCUCCCGCGGAGCCCAUCAGGGGCCGCAGCGCGUGGAUCAGCGACGACGACGCCGACGCCGACGACGCCGCCGACGACAGGUCUUCCUUCAGGCGCUCCGCGGCGGCCUCGACGGACUGCGCCGCCGUCGUCGUCGGCAGCGUCCGGAGGAGGCUCAGUGGCCCCCGCCAGGCGCUGCCGCCGCAGGAGCUGCCGGCCACGAGGACCAUCAGGAGGACGAGCUUGGCCGUGGCCAUUGCCAUUGCCAUUGCGACUGCGCCACGCACCCGAUCUGCUGCGUGCUAGGAGAACACUCUGUGUGUCCCCUGUUCUAUCUGCGAUGCACAGCACAGGCGUGGUUGUGUGAACUUUAAUAGAGCAUGCGUGUAGUGUUGAGGGCCCACAUGUCAUCAGCCCAGCGCGUGAACCACGUGGAGUAUGGUCACUGACGUUGAUGGGCAGGUUUGGACGGGCGCGAUGGGACGAAUGGUAGUGGACAAGCGCUGCUGGCCGUGUACCCAUUAUUGGAUGACAAUGGGUAGUUUUGGGUUGGAUAUCUUUGGGUUUCAGGUUCAGGUUUGGAAGGGAUUUCUCACCCAUGCUUUUUGGGUUUGGGAGCCCAAAACCUAUUGCAUUCGGUUGCGGGUUUGAUUUUUUCAUCCGAUGGUAUCCAAUGGAUACCAGAUUUGAAUCAUUUGGUACCAAAAAAUCGAGUAUCCAUUGGGUAGAAAAAAAGUUAUUCCUGGAUCAUUUGGUACCAAAAAAUCGCCCAAAACCUAUUGCGUUCGGUUGCGGGUUCAGGGAAUCAUUUUGGGUAUCCAAUCGAGUUUCGGGGAUUCGUGGGUAUUAGUUUCAGGGAUGGAUUUCCAUCCAAGUUUGGUGUUUGAGGCGGUUCAGGUUUUCAGUUCGAGUUUCGGUUUUGGAUGCCCAGAGACUCCACCCGAUUCAAACCCUAUUGUCAUCCUUAAUUAACCAUGAGAAUGUGAGACGCGGAGGACCGAUAUGAUGACAUAACAGGCACAGCAUGCCUGCAUGGAUGCAUGCAAAAGGUCUGAUAAUGUAAGGUGCCUUGGCUCACCCACUGAGAAGAUACUGACUUGUACAUUUAAUUUAUUUUAUUUAUAAAAAACAUACAUAAAUCUCACAUACGUAUUACACUGAUGAUACGCACAUGAUAUCUCUAUGAAUGAGACCAGGGGUGGGGUGAAUCUUAGCCUUCAUUAUUGGUGUGGCACGAGCAUGACCACAACGAUGAAAUUUGGCAAAAACCAGUGGACACCUAAUUCAUCAUUGUUGGGACCCCGUGAAAUCCGGAUUUGCUCUGAAUAAGGUUAAGAGCAUCUCCAUCACAUUGAUUUAAAUGCAUCCAUUUUCCUUAUAAAGCAGAAAUAAAGGGAAUUGCAAAAAAUGAGCUCCAUGAGAUCCCUUCUCAAUCCUUUUCUCUAUUUUUUUCUCAAUUCGUCAAAUUCUCUCCUCUCUCUCAAACAACGGGAAACUAAUAGGAUUUUUUCUCAAUCCCCUUUCAUCCCUCCUAUUUCAUUGGCAUAUAUGCGGGCCCUGCUAUACCUGAAUGGCACCAUCGACCGCAAAAUAGAGUAGUUGUGGGUAUAGGCCGCUAUAGCUACUCAUAGAUGAUGUAGAGCUCAAUAUAUAUAGGUCGUAGUCGGAUAUUUUGAACAUUGGUACAAACUCGGUGUGUGUAAUAUUGGUACAUAGGUGUAUUUUACAGCUACAUAAAUUAAUUUUAGCCAUGACCAAAAUCAAUUAGUAGAUGCAGUUUUUGAAAAACCACAUGUACCCAAGGGCCCCAAAUCAAGUAUUUUCUAGAUGAAGGUGUUGCAAGGCACCUAAAAAUCGAUUUCUAGAAUAGAUCAGUAAGGUUGCUCUCCCUAGAUAUCUCACGAACUAUCCUAAAUAUAUAGAUAAUGGUCUAUAUAUACAAUUUCUAGAAUGGAUUGGUGAGGUUGCUCUCCCUAGAGAUAUCUCUCACCAACUACAUCUAGAUAUAUAUCAAAUAAAAUAUGUCCUCUUGUGUUGUCAAGGAUUCAGGCCUAUGACUUCAUGCUUUUUUCACAACAACUAUGACUUCAAGCUUGGCGCGAGCCCGCAAUGGGACACAAUCAUUGGUGACUGAAUAUCGGAUGCUAUUCUUUUAUAUUUUUUUACACGAGGAAUCUUCCCAUUUCCAUUGAUGACCCAAUAUAAUGGAAAUACAACAUUUAAGAGGUUACACAACAAUAUAAGAUGAAUAAUUCACUAGAAUAACCACAAAACAUCAGGCCUAUAUCAGGUGCUACAUAGAGCUAAAUUGAAUAAUACUUUGACAAACCAGGGAACACCUUGCCCAACAGUUAGAGAAAACUAGAUAAUUAAAAAAUAGAGUUUUUCUACAAAGAAAGGCCAUCCAAAUGCCACAAGUGCUGAGGCAGUCAAGCGCCAGUAGGCACCUUUCACCAUCUUCAAUCUUGAUCAUCGUCUUGGUUAUCCUCCAACAUGAGUUGCCAGCUGUGGGGGUAUAAACCCCUAUACCCUUACGGCUAGACUUCGGCCAGGAAGCUUGGCCCAGUACGAGACGAGUUCAAGGCUUGAUCCGACAACCUGGAGUUUCGCGCAAGGAAACAAGAUGGGGAGAUCAAGCAGGAUUCUAGUCGGUUAGAAUAGGAAUUGAUAUCGAAUUAUCCAUGGCAAUUGUAACCGACUAGGAUUAGUUUCCAGAUCUGUAACCCUGCCCUCCGGACUAUAUAAGGAGGGGCAAGGGACCCCCCUAGGACAUCAUAUUCUCUCAGCACAAAUCAAUACAACCAGACGCAGGACGUAGGUAUUACGCCAACUCGGCGGCCGAACCUGGAUAAAAAGCUUGUCCGUGUCUUGCGUCACCAUCGAGUUCGUAGUUUGCGCACCGUCUACCGAUAAACUACUACCGAGGGUAUACCCCAAGGUAGACUGCCGACUAGCUUUCGUCGACAGUGGCGCGCCAGGUAGGGGGUGUGCGUGCAACUUUUCCGGCGAACAAGAUGGUCACGAUCCCAGCUUCCGCGACCGUGCCCGAAGGCCUCACGUUCACCGUCGGCCAGAUCACGUGGACGACGUGCAGCGGCGGCUUCGCGACCAUGGUUCCGAAAGAGAUCCAGAUCCAAUCUGAGAUCACGCCGUCUCCGACCACACGCAUGACGGCACCAAGCUCCCGACCACCGUUCCCACUCUACAAGGGAAAGGAGAUCGACUGCUCGGACCUCCUCCAAGCGCUCGAUCGCGCUGACUCCAAGCUACUCGAAGUCUCCCAACUAAUAGAUGGAGUUCUGGGCCGGCCCGACCAAGCUGCUCGAGCGGAUUUUUCGAAAUCCCGCCGGCCAACUCGUGUCGCCACACACGAACGGCUGGGAACGUCCCUGACGAUAACCUCAACCCCCUCAGGACGAUCCGUCGAGCUCAAAAAGGAAGACUAUCCUUGCGGCCUGAACAACUCGGCCUCUGUUUACUCACAGCAUGUCCAAUCCGUUUUCAGCAAGGCGGGUUGGUCGCCGACAAGGAACAACCGUCACCAUGUCAACAUGGUGACAAUCCGAGAGCUACGGGACGGCCAGGUUUCCAGCACCAACUCAAGCACCGGCUCCGUCCCCACCGAGGUUAUAAACACCGAAGACGAGGGCUACGACCUGGAUUUUCCUUCACACCCUCCGGGUUUCGACCGAUUCCCGAUAUUCCCCCCCCCCCGGCGAGGGGAUAUUGUGUUCAAUGUUAGCGCCGACGAACCGGCUGUUGACGGAGAAACAGAUGACCAGAGGCAACUCCGCGAACAGCGUAACGCCGAUCGCGCCCGACGGCGUGCGGACGAGCAACAACAGAUGCCACCAAGUAACCUCAAUGAUGCCUUUGACAUGGUCGGGGACCAGCCGGUCUACAAAACGCCAAGCGCCAACGUGGCUGUCGCCAUGGCCAACCUGGAUCGGCUUCCUGACACCCCCGAGUGCCAGGGAGUCCGGACCAGCAUCCGAGCACACCUGAUCGCCGUAAUGGGACAGACAGCCACUCUGCUCAAGAGAGUCCAGGACGUCUCUUAUACGGAAGCCGCCUCCGACCAGACUAAUCGUAGCCAGGUCUCACCCAGCAGGCGUCACCGCAGCCGCUCCCCCGACAACAGUCGAGGGGACUCGCGGCGCGACGAUGGUGGUCGGGACGCCGAUGGCCGCCGCAAGCAAAUUCAUGGCGUACGCGGCCAAGAAGAAGAUCAACACAGGGAUCUCCGCCACAACAUCCCUCCCAAAGAUGCCCGGGACCGCAUCAACAGGCGCGCCGCAGAGAGUGCAGUCCACGAAAACCUGCGCCGCAUCGAGUACGAUGCGACCCACGGUCCUCCGGGCCUAAGACAGUUCUCCUCACACCUCCGCCAGGUCGUGUGGCCCCGCAAUUUCAAGCUCGAAAAACUUAAAAAAUACGACGGCAAGGAAAAUCCAGAGAACUGGAUCACUCUCUAUGAAAUCGCCGUCCGAUCAGCGGCAGGAGAUGAGCACGUCAUGGCUAACUACUUCCCCGUAGUCCUCGACCAGGAUGGUCAUCAGUGGCUUCUCGGCUUGCCCGAGGACUCCUUCGACUCCUGGGAAGAGCUACGCCAGGCUUUCAUCGACAACUUCAUCGCCACAUGCGAGCUGCCCGGAAACAAGUAUGACCUUGAAAGGAUAAGAGACAGGAAGAAUGAACCUCUGCGCGAUUACAUCCGACGAUUCUCGGAUAUGCGCCUCAAAAUCCCGAAGAUUUCUCAUGACGAGGCCAUAUCAGCCUUUAUCAAGGGCUUGCGUUUCCAUGAAGCGCUGAGGAACAAGCUGUUGCGUAAGCGCCCAUCAACGGUAGCAGAGCUCCUCGCCACGGCUAAAAAUUACGCCGACGCUGAUGACGCAGAAAAACUAAUCCGAGACGAUGCGAGAGGCCCCGACCAGCCUUCCCGGCGAGAUGACGGUCGUGGUCGCUACGACAACAGAAAUCACCGCCGCUCCGACAACCGCGAUCACCGAGAGGGUUGGGAUCGGCGGCGCGACAGCCGCGACGACUUCAGAGGAAAGCGCCCUCGCGAAUACGACCACGAAGUAAAUACGGUCAAACGUCCCAAUGGACGACGGGACUACCAAGACGACUACAACAAAACGUUGAAGGGACCGUGCCAGCUACACCCAAAGUCUAACCAUACCAUGGAAGAGUGCCGCGUCCUCAAAAGUAUCUAUACACGGCGGGCCGCCCAAGAGGACUCCGCCAAGAAGAAUAACAAGCGCGACGGGCACGACCACGAAGAUGAGGAUGAGGACCAAGACAGGGACCCCCGACACCAAUACGUCAGCCCCACCGACGUGGUCCACUCCAUUUUCGGGGGCAAGGUCUCCACUGAGUCCAAGCGAGAAAGAAAGCUGUUAAAGAGAGCCUGCCUCAACAUAGACAGCACGGACGGGCUGAUCGCAGAUCCGAAAUUUCCCGCGUGGUCCCACAGGGAGAUCUCGUUCAGCAGGAAGGACCAGUGGGCCGCUAUCCCAGAGCCGGGUCGUUUCCCACUGAUUCUUGAUCCCUGCAUCAAUAGCAUCAGAUUCGAGCGCGUGCUCGUGGACGGGGGAAGCUCCAUCGACAUCCUCUUCCGCAACAGCCUGCCCGCCCUCAAGAUAUCACCGGCACAACUAAAACCUUACGACGCCCAAUUCUGGGGGGUUUUGCCAGGUCAAAGUUCGGUGCCCCUCGGACAGAUAACAUUGCCUGUCCAAUUCGGCACACCCGAUCACUUCCGGACGGAGUUCAUCAACUUCGUAGUCGCGGAUUUCGACGGGACCUAUCACGCCAUACUGGGCCGCCCAUCGCUGACAAAGUUCAUGGCAGUCCCGCACUACUCAUACCUAGUCCUUAAGAUGCCCACGGAGAAGGGUGUCCUAACCGUCAGAGGCAACGUCUACACCGCGUACACCUGCGAAGAAGAAAGCUUCAAGAUCACCGAGGCAAUCGACCUCUCAAUCCGCAUGGCGGAAACAGCAAACCAAGCCGCACAGCUGCCUCCCGACCAGCUCCGAUUACCUGAGCAGGAGACAGCCAGAAAGAACUCGAAAUCCAAGGAGUACAAAGAAGUGCAGCUGGUCGAAGGCAACCCCGAGAAGACAGCCCUCAUCGGGGCUAACCUGGAUCCAAAAUAGGAAGACGCGCUCGUCAGGUUUCUAAGGGACAACGUGAGCGUUUUCGCAUGGAAACCCGCAGACAUGCCCGGUGUCCCACGAAACCUGAUCGAGCACUCCUUAAAUGUCUCGAAGACCGCAAGACCAAUCAAGCAAAAACUGCGACGGUUCGCUCGUGACAAAAAGGAGGCUAUUAGGACAGAAAUAACACGGCUUCUAGCAGCCGGAUUCAUAAAAGAAGUGUAUCACCCCGAUUGGCUCGCCAAUCCGGUUCUUGUACGCAAAAAGAGUAAUGAAUGGAGAAUGUGCGUUGAUUACACCGAUCUCAACAAACACUGUCCUAAAGAUCCUUUUGGUCUUCCUCGCAUCGACGAGGUGGUCGACUCAACGGCCGGAUGCGAACUCCUCUCCUUUCUAGAUUGCUACUCUGGUUAUCACCAGAUCUCGCUAAAGGAAGAAGAUCAGAUCAAAACAUCCUUCAUCACACCCUUCGGCGCAUACUGCUACACUACCAUGUCUUUCGGACUUAAAAACGCCGGGGCCACUUAUCAAAGGGCCAUCCAGCAAUGCCUCCACGACGAGAUUCGCGAUGACCUCGUCGAGGCCUAUGUGGACGACGUGGUCGUAAAAACAAGGGACGCGAGCACCCUAAUCGACAACUUAGACCGAACCUUCAAGGCACUCAAUAGGUACAAGUGGAAGCUCAACCCCAAGAAAUGCAUUUUCGGCGUUCCUUCCGGUCUACUGCUCGGCAACGUCGUCAGUCGCGACGGCAUACGACCAAACCCUUCAAAAGUCAAAGCCGUACUCGACAUGCGACCACCGAAAAACGUCAAGGAUAUUCAGAAGCUAACCGGAUGCAUGGCCGCCCUCAGUCGUUUCAUCUCAAGGCUGGGAGAAAAAGGCCUCCCUUUCUUCAAACUAUUGAAAGCGUCAGAAAAAUUUUCUUGGACAGAGGAAGCCGACGCUGCGUUCACUCAGCUUAAGACCUUCCUCACUUCACCACCUGUCCUCACAGCGCCUCAGCCCAAUGAAGACCUACUCCUUUACAUUGCUGCAACCGACAGGGUUGUUUCCACGGCAAUAGUGGUCGAGCGAGAUGAACCAGGUCACGUCUUCAAGGUCCAGAGACCCGUUUACUUCAUAAGCGAAGUCUUAAACGAGUCCAAGGCCAGGUACCCACAAAUACAGAAGCUUAUAUACGCCAUCCUGAUAACGUCAAGAAAGCUGAAGCACUACUUCGACGGCCAUCGAGUCCUGGUGACAACCAGCUUUCCUCUCGGGGACAUCCUGCGCAAUAAAGACGCCAAUGGCAGAAUCGUGAAAUGGGCAAUGGAAUUAUGUCCAUUUUCCCUGGAGUUCCAGAGUCGCACUACUGUCAAGUCUCAAGCCCUGGUCGAUUUCAUUGCCGAAUGGACGGAUCUCAACGAGCCUUCCGUUCCCGAUGUCUCAGACCACUGGUCAAUGUUCUUUGACGGGUCCUUGAACAUCAACGGUGCAGGCGCUGGGAUAUUGUUCGUAUCACCCAACAAGGACAAACUCCGUUACGUCCUUCGGAUCCUUUUUCCGGCGUCAAACAACGUCGCCGAAUACGAAGCAUGCUUGCAUGGCAUACGACUAGCCGUUGAACUGGGGGUCAAGCGCCUCUAUGUCUACGGCGACUCCGCUUUGGUCAUCAACCAGCUCAACAAGGAGUGGGACGCAACCCACGAGAAGAUGGAUCUCUACUGCAAAGAAAUUCGCAAAUGGGAAACUAACUUCUAUGGCAUAGAGUACAUCCACGUGGUCCGGGAUAAGAACCAAGCAGCAGAUGCGCUGUCAAAGUUAGGCUCAUCUCGGGCCCAAAUCCCGCGGGGUAUUUUCGUCCAAGACAUCCAUGAGCCGAGCGUAAGCUCCCCCCUGGUCGACAAGCAACCCACCGAGGCAAUGCUCAUAGAUGACGCCACUCCGACAACCGGUGGACGUGACUGGCGUACCCCGUUCAUCAAAUACAUAUCAGACGGGACAGGCUUUCAGGACAAAGCAGAGAACGAGCGCCUCAUCCGACGAUCAAAGAACUACAUCCUGGUCGACGGAAAACUCAUGCGAAAAAACGCAAGCUCCGAAGUACUGCUCAAGUGCAUACCCCAAGAUGAUGGUAUCAAGCUCUUGGAGGACAUACACGCUGGAUCCUGCGGCAAUCACGCCGCAUCUAGAACGCUGGUCGGAAAGGCUUUCCGAGCAGGUUUUUAUUGGCCAACCGCGGUCGGCGACGCAGAAAAACUGGUUCGGCAUUGCGAAGGAUGUCAGUUUUUCGCUAAGAGGACCCACGUACCUGCCCAUGAAAUUCAAACCAUCCCGUCGUCUUGGCCCUUUGCUUGCUGGGGGCUUGACAUGAUCGGACCAUUUAAACCAGCCCCGGGCAAUUUCAAGUUUGUCUUCGUGUUAAUCGACAAGUUCUCCAAGUGGAUUGAAUACAUGCCCCUGGUCAAGGCAACCUCCGAGAAGGCUGUGGAGUUCCUCAAUCAAAUCAUACACAGAUUCGGCAUCCCGAACAGCAUAAUCACCGACCUGGGCACUCAGUUUACUGGCACCACUUUUUGGGAUUUCUGCGAUGACAGAGGCAUAGUCAUAAAAUAUGUGUCAGUGGCACACCCACGUGCCAACGGUCAAGUCGAACGUGCUAACGGAAUGAUCGUUGACGCCCUAAAGAAAAGGCUGUACACCGAAAACGACAGAGCACCCGGUCGAUGGAUGAAAGAAUUGCCGGCAGUGGUCUGGGGCCUCCGAACCCAGACCAGUCGAAACACAGGGGUGUCUCCCUACUUCAUGGUGUACGGUGCAGAGGCGGUCCUGCCGUCUGACAUACACUUCGGAUCUCCUAGAAUCGAGCACUUCGACCAGGCGACCGCCGACAACGCCAGAGAACUCGAAAUCAAUUGCAUGGAGGAAAAGCGUUUAGUUUCAUGUCUCCGAACAGCAAAAUAUCUCGCGGCAGUCAGGCGGUACUACAACAGGAACGUCAAGGACCGUUCCUUCGCGGUCGGCGAUCUGGUGCUUCGAUGGAAAACAAGCCAGGAGGGAAUGCACAAGCUAUCCACUCCCUGGGAAGGACCCUUCGUGGUGACCGAGGUCACACGACCUACGUCCUUCAGAUUGGCAUACCCAGACGGAACACGGGUGCCUAACUCUUGGCACAUCGACAAACUGCGACGUUUCUAUCCAUAAAGUUUUAAUGACUUUCUUUUGUAAGUAUCUUAUAAUUUUUGAUAAUGAAAUUCUCUAUUUUUUGCCUAUACCUUGUCACACACAGCACUCGGCAAAACUCCUGCAAUGGAUGCUCUUAGCGACAACCAAGACAAAUACGGUGACACGUCACUCAGAUAUUUUUACAGCGCUCAAAACAACAGUCAUGACAAAAAGUAAACUUUAUUACAAACUUUACAUACAAAGUUUACAAUAAAUACCCUGACGGGCAGACACUAGUCUAUUCCUACAGACUACUUUAUUGGCCUAGCUGCUCGGGCUGAUCACCCGCCUGGCCCUGCUGCCCGGACGAAGGGGUCGGGGCCACCAGCGCCUGGCUGGUCGAGACCGCAGGCGUCGACCGCCCAUCUCCCGCAACGGACGCGCCCGACAACUCCCUGGCCGACCUAUCUGCACUCGGCUGGUCUGGAGGAGUGGCCGUUCCGCACAGAUUGAUGUCGCCGAUCACUGUCGACGACAAGUCCAGCAGACUACCCCGAAGCUCGUCCGCGUCCUGCGGGCCGACUUCCUUCGGGUACCCCUUCUCCAGCCUGCUCAAGUCGACCAGGGGGUAGUGGGCGCGCACCAUGCUGAGGACGUGCGCGCCGGCAAACUCCCCGGCGUCCUUCACAAACUGCUGGAGCCAGUCCCACGCCCGUUGCGCCUUCUCGACCGGGGUCAACUGCGGCGCGCGGGGCUGGCUCUCCGGGAGCUCGGGACUGAUCAGGUCUAGGACCGGGGACACUCCUUUCCAGAUCCUGCAACAGUUGACCUUCCAGGAGUCCCGGUCCUUGGUCAGAUCGUCCAGGUGCUUUUUGGCGUUCACCUUGAGCACUGCAAACGAAACGAAGCGUUAUUUUCGGCAUAAAAAAGGGGCAGGCAGUAACCAACAAGGCGGCAACCAUUACCAGAUAGCUCCCGGUCUUUUCGACCCAAUUCCUCUCCUGCUCGCCGCCCGGACUCCAGCGCACCGGCGAGCUGUUGGCUGAGCUGCUCCUUCUCUUGUCGGAGGCUCGCCACCUCCUCCUCCAAGUCUGCGUGAAUCCUAAGCUGGUCAGCAAAGCAAACUAUACAAGUACGCGAAGCUGCUCGGAGCGUGUGACUAACCUUCUUGCAGCCGGUACUGGUCGGCCAAACGACGAGCGAGGUCGAGACGACGCUCCUUUUCGGCACUCAUCUCGACCACCUUCUCCCCGACCUCCGCCCGCAACCGGUCUACCUCCGCGGCAAGGGCCUUGUUCUCGGCCAUGACGCCUUCUAUCUGGUCAAAGCACCGUUUCCGGUACUUCGCCGUUUUCAUUGCGUCCUGCAAAGCAAGCAUAUAACGACCAUGCAAGACAAGGCAAAAGAAUGUGCAGCAGUACAAAAAGCCGCUUACCUUGACUUCGUCGACGAGGCGCUUGGCCGCGCGCUCCACCCUGGCGGCCUCUUCGGUCUCGGCGAGCUCCUCAUGCCCGAUAAAGUGAUCCCCGCGUUGGCGCCACACAUACACGUGUUGGCGGCCAUCACGGGGACGACCCUCGAUCUCUUCCACCUCAUCAUCGGAGGCCGCCCGGGUUUCCUCCUCCUGUGCUGCGUCACCCCCGGUGGUGGUCCCAGGUAUUACUGGCCCUUGGACCAGACCUGGGGAGCCCGCAGCCGAAGAGGCUCCUGCUCGGGGCGGUGUGGGGACUUCACUCCUCCCGGCAGGAGGAGCGGUCGAAGAUCUCCCCUUCUCUGAGGAGUCAGUUGGGGGAGCCUCUCCAGCCCUGGUCGGGCUGCUUGUCGUAGUCGGUGCCGCGCUCGGGAGCUCCUCGGUGCUCCCAGGCGCGACUGCAGCUGUUGCCUGCUCUGUGGUCUGGGGGGCCGCAUCCCCAGAACCGCGGGCAGGCUCGCCCGUUCCCUGGCCGGCAGUUUGGCCGGGGUCGACAUCCGAUGCCGUACUACAGGAACAAAAGUUAAAAAAAAAAGUCAAAGAGGAGUUCAAAAUACGUAAGUCGAACACUUACAGGUCUGACCGACGGUGGGUCGCGGUGAACCUCCUCCUCGCCCGGCCGGUCGGCACCUGCGCCCCCGUCUCGACAACUUGCGGUGCAGGGGCGCCGCUGGCCACUCGAUCAGUAGCGGCCGGCGCAUUAUCUGGGCGACCCCGGGGCCGUCGGACCAACGACGGCGCAGCCUCCUCGUCGUCGUCGUCGUCGUCAACGAUCCGCACGAGCCGACGACGCUUCGGUGCUUGGCUGCUCUCUGCCGGAAGAUCCGCCGGCAGCUCCGGUGUCGGCAAAGGAUCUGCCGGCAAUGGCCUCUUCCCCGCUACCCUCUCCUCGGAGGUCGGGACGAGGCGGGCUUGGUCUUCCUCACUGCUGGUGUAAUGAGUACACCGAGCAGCGUCUUCCUCUGGCGGGACCUCUCCCGCAGGAUUUUCCAUCCCCGGUGCCAGUGAUACAUACACUGUGCACCGGUCAGCAUCGCCGAUCUGCAAAAGCAACAGAGAUGAGUCAACUGCAGACGAUAUACAAAUGCUAAAACAGAAUCUGCUACAUACCUUUGGUGCUGGUCGUCCUAACUUGAAGGCUUGCACCCGAUCACUGCCACGGAUGAAGCCCCCAUCCGCGAAGUUAAACAGCUCGUUCAACAGCUGUUGUACCUCCACUUUCUCCAAGAUCUCCGACCGCAUCCUAGUCGGGUCUGCGCUUCCGGCAUACUCGUACGCCGAGUGCACCCUCUUCUGGCAGGGCAUCACCCGGCGGCAAAUGAAGUUGCCGACCACGCCAAGCCCGUCCAGGCGCGACCAGUCGAUCAGCUUCAUGAGAUCCGCCACUGGACCGUCGAACUCCGGGCGGUCGGUCCAGCUUGUCCUCUUCUCAGGAAUGUAUCCCACGUCGCAGAACGUGGAGCUGCCCGGUUCCUCCCUGAUGUAGAACCACUUCCUGUACCAUUCGGUCAAGGAAGUGUUCCAUGGGCAGUGCAGGUAGCGAUUCUUCAUUCCAUCACGAAGGUUGAGGUAUACUCCACCUGCAACCUUGGAGCCUCCAACUGCUCCCUUCUUCCUCAAGCAGAAAAGAUACCGGAAAAGAUCGAAGUGCGGCUCUAUGCCAACAUAGGCCUCGCACAGGUGGAUAAAGGUGGAAAUGAGGAGAAUUGAGUUCGGGUGCAGAUUGCAAAUCCCGAUCUCAUAAUACAAAAGAAGACCUUGAAGAAAAGGAUGAACAGGAACACCAAAACCCCUCUUAAUGAAAUCUUCAAAUACGACGAUCUCACCGGCGCGAGGGUCGGGGUAGCUCUCCCCCUCCGGUGCCCUCCAGCCGCCGAGCUCCGGGCCGUGCAGAAGCCCCAUAUCGACGAGGUCACCAAGGGAUUUUGUGGUGCUGCGAGACUUCUUCCACUCCUUGGCCAUCAGUUCGGCCCUCUUCCUGGAGUCGCUCUUCGCCAUUAGAGGUGCGAAUGUGGGCUUGAGUUAGGAAGAUGCAGGAGAUUGGAGAAGAUGAGAGCGGAAGGUUUGAAGGCAAUGGCAGCGAAAGCGGUACAGGCGGACCUAUUAGGCUCUUAUAAGCCCGCAACUCCACCUCUCCCACUUCCUGUAUUCUCGGGAAGUGGGCAGGCCAUGCGGCGGACGCGGCGUUUCGGUUUACAAUGAUUAUAGACAAUUAAUGCGGCGGAGUUUUCGUACCAAUUGAUGGUUUCCUUUUCUCAAACCAUGCAAAGGGCGGCUGUACAGUUGUCAGGUGCAACUUUUCAUGCAUCCGUCUGACACCCCGUCAGGAGGCCUCGUCACGUCAACUUUAACUGGAAAGAUCUUUUCAAAAAUAAGAAGACACAUACGCCAGUGAGUCAACAAUCCGGGGACUGCACCGACCACCGAGCACUCGACGCUCGGGGACUGGUCGCCCAGUCUAUCAGCUCGGAACUUCAAGGACUGCACCGACCACCGAGCACUCGACGCUCGGGGACUGGUCGCCCAGUCUAUCAGCUCGGAACUUCAAGGACUGCACCGACCACCGAGCACUCGACGCUUGGGGACUGGUCGCCCAGUCUAUCAGCUCAAAGCUUUAAAGCAUGCACCGACCACCGAGCACUCGACGCUCGGGGACUGGUCGAACGGUAUAGCAACAUAUAAUUCCAAAGAGCACACUUAGUGCUUGGGGACUGGUCGAUUGGUCUUUUCAUUUGCAGACGAGCACGACAUGCUCGGGGACUGGUAAAUUCACUUUUGACCUUGCUACAAGGCUCAUACUUCGCCUUCCAGCAAGCUCGGGGACUACAUCGGUACGAUGCAUCUAGCGAUGCAUCUCAGUCUCAAAACUACUUUGGGGAAUUUUCUUUUGACCCUGGCACCACGUGCCUACGUCACCUACUACCAGGCUCGGGGACUAAGUGGGCACACUUCACCUAGCGGUGAAUUUGCUUGCUUUUUUGAUGUUUAUACCUUUCAAAAAGGUAAAGUGGGCACACUUCAUCAGGAAAGAAAUUUUUUUUAAGAGCACCAUGCAUUCUUCGAACAACCUGCUUCUUCGAUGUCAAUGUUGAUCAACUGUCUUUUGAGUUGGUCAAAAUACCGUUGCAACUGUUCGGACGACUUUCCUGCUUAUUGAAGACGUCAAGCCACACUGAUCGAAGAAGCUCAAGACGGCGUGUUACAUCACAAUACAUGGUGCUCGGGGACUAGCUGUGGGGGUAUAAACCCCUAUACCCUUACGGCUAGACUUCGGCCAGGAAGCUUGGCCCAGUACGAGACGAGUUCAAGGCUUGAUCCGACAACCUGGAGUUUCGCGCAAGGAAACAAGAUGGGGAGAUCAAGCAGGAUUCUAGUCGGUUAGAAUAGGAAUUGAUAUCGAAUUAUCCAUGACAAUUGUAACCGACUAGGAUUAGUUUCCAGAUCUGUAACCCUGCCCUCCGGACUAUAUAAGGAGGGGCAAGGGACCCCCCUAGGACAUCAUAUUCUCUCAGCACAAAUCAAUACAACCAGACGCAGGACGUAGGUAUUACGCCAACUCGGCGGCCGAACCUGGAUAAAAAGCUUGUCCGUGUCUUGCGUCACCAUCGAGUUCGUAGUUUGCGCACCGUCUACCGAUAAACUACUACCGAGGGUAUACCCCAAGGUAGACUGCCGACUAGCUUUCGUCGACACCAGCGUUUCUUCUCUUUGGCAAACAAACUUUGACACAAUCAGCACUGUACUCACCCCGGCCUCCAGGAAGAGACCUGCCCAAUAACCCAUGAGCGAGCAAGCAUAGCAUACAAUUGAAGCAAGGUUAUUCAUUGUUUUUUCUUCAAAACAGAUAGAGUUGCAUGUUUUCCAAAUGGCCCAACAAAUAGCUGUGAUGCCCAAGGUGUGAAAUUGCUUUCGAGUUGGGAUCCAACACUCAGACCAAUUCCAACACUAGUAAAAAGAUUUAGGGAUGCUAUUAGCACCAAUUGCAUAAGCGACAAUAGCCUAUACCGCUUUGGCUGUGGAACAUUGGAAAAACAAAUGUUUGUUCUCAUCAGUGUUACAAAAAUAACAAGUAGGGUAACAAAACAUCUUAAUUUGAUCAAGUUGUCUUUUGUGAGAAUAGCAUUAUUCAUAACAAGGCAUAGGUAACUUUUGAUUUUGGAGGGAAUUUUCCCCUUCUAGAUUCUUCUAUGAUAAGGCCCAAUACCACUAGUUACCACGGCUCUAUAAGUAGAUUUGACACUAAAUCGUCCAUUAUUACCAAAUUUCCAAAUCAUAGAAUCCUCUCCACGUGCAAUCAAUCUGCCUCAAGAUAUUUAGCCAACAAAGCCUAAGGUCAUCAAUAAGCUAUCUAGUGAAAGUCACAUUACUAGAAUCAAAAUUUACAUGAUGAACCCAAAUAUUAGGUUGUUCACACAUUUUGAAAAGAUCAGGGAAUAGAUGGCUCAAAGCUUUAUCAUAAAACCAAGCAUCGUUUCUGAAAAGAGUUUUCCUUCCAUCCCUUACUUUUACUUGUCUACCUUGGAGAUAGACAUCCAUGAUUCUUAAUAGAUCAACCCACAUGGCAGUCAGGUUGCCUGUGAUUCAUAGUACAAAAAGAUUUACCAUUUAAAUACUUAUACUAAAUGAUUUGCUGACCCAUUUCCCCUCUCCAAUUUCCACCACCAUUCAUCUUUCUAAUAUUUUUUAUCCCCAGGCCUCCUUUUUUUCUUAUGCUUACAGAUUUAACUCAUUUAACAAGAUGAUAUUUCAUUUUUGUGCCUCCUCCUUGCUAGUCCAGCUUAUCAAUGAUGGUUUUAGGAAGAAGGUAAAUAGACAUAUGAUAGAUUGAGGCAUUAUUUAGACUAGAAUUGGUCAGAGUUGAUCUACCAGCUAUUGACAUGGAACCCCCUUCCCAUACAUCAAGUCUCUUGGCACUUUUCUAUUCUUUUAUAUUGACUUCUAUGGAUCCUUUUAUUGAAUAUUUUUUGGAGCUGCAAUUUCAAAUCGGCCAAUAUAAAGUUUUAGAUCCCGUCAAACACUAUAAUAUUGGUAUAGAGUAUGUAUUACCAAGUUCGUUUGAAAAAUUCAAGGACAUGAAUUUAAAAAAUCUAUAAACUGAAAAAGUUAUAUUUGAAUCUGAUCUCAAAUAACAAAGGUUAUUGGCUAGAAAGCUUAUCGAGCUUUACAAUCUGAUGACAAAACUUGUCUUUUUCUGAUUUUAUUUGAAAAAAUUAUAAAUCUAUUUUUGUACAACGACUCUCUUUAGAGACAUAUGCCACCAUGCUAAUAACAUCUAUAAGUCGAUUUGUAUACACCAACCCUCUUUAGAAGCUAGUACCUCCAUUUUCAAGGACAAUCGGCGUUACCAACCAUCCCUAGGACUGAUUACAAUCCAGAGCAUCCUUCACCAAACGUUUGUAAAUUGCCUCAAAACUAAGAAAAGAAAAAUACUGUUUGUCUGGGGCUCUGGGCUAUCCAGGGCGCUGCAUUCAUUUGUACUAGCAGAAAUGGAAUAUAUAUAUAUAUAUAUAUAUAUAUAUAGAGGUAAAUUACUUUUUACACGCACGAGUAUCUACUCCGACGUAGCUACACGCGUGAAUUCUUCCCUCUCGCACGGAGCAGGAGCGGGAUUUCAUACCGGAUCAACCCGUUAGUCGUGGUACCUCUCUAUUAUUUUGGGCAGACCCGUGGAAGAAACCAUUUUAAUUUCCUGUUUCUUUUUUAUGCGUCGUCCAGCAGCCUCCCAUCCAUGGAUCCACCGGCGGCGGCGCAAACCUCCUUCCCACCGGCGUCGGCGAGCCUCGCCCUCAACAGCCGCGGCGGGCCUCGCCCCACCCCCAUCGGCGGCAGCACGGUCAGGUCAGCGCGCUCGGUGGCCCUCCUCCUCUAGCAGAUCCAGUCGCGAGCGGCUCGCCUCGUGCCGUCGUGCGGAUGCGACUCGUCUGUGGUGCGGCUCCACCGCAAGCCAACGACGGCAGUUGCCUCUUUCCCUAGCGGAUCCACCGCACAAGGCUCGUCCUCUUCAUCAACUAUGGCGUCAGGGCUCCAUCCCACCACUGAUGGCGGCUCCGGCAUCAGCGGGCAGGCAGCCUUUGGCUGGCGGCAUGGCCAUCGGCGACUGGGGACAGAUCAGGUGGUGCUGACCCUCUUCCCUGAUCAAUGGUGGCCUUCCUUCCUCUGGCUACUACAGCGACCCUUCCUAUGCCAUGGUCUUUUUGAUGCAGGUGCCUUCCUAUGCUAUCGUGUGGCUGCAGCAAGUAUGAAUAUGCACCUCAUCUAACAUAUACUGUGUUUUGUUUUUCUUCAUGCGUUAUGUUUUUGUUUUUGCCUUUUGGAUGCCGAGCGUAGAGAUGGAUCGAUGUUCCACAAUCAUAGUUCAUGCCCACAAAUUUUAAUGUUUUCUGCUGCCUAUAUAUAUCUCGACUUUCUCAUGAAAUUGAAUCUAGCUGCAGAGAGCCAGAGAUGGAGCAGCAAAGGUUUCUGUGCAGUUUAUUUUUUAUUUUUAAGCUUCUUGAGCCAGCAACAUAUGUAUUCGUAUCAAAGUAAACAUGUAUGUACUCAUACUCCAUAUAACCAUGUAUAUAGUUUCAUACUCACAAAGAUGUAUAUACUCAUACUCCCACUGUAUAUGUAUAUGUAUAUGCUCAUAUUCCUUUUGUCUAAUUUGAUGCUUCUAUGUUGACGGAAAUACACAUCAAAGAAAUUUAGCAUGCAGGCAUAUAUGGUGGGUGUCCUCGCUAAUCUCAUGUCAUAGUAUCAGUUACUGUAUGUAUUUAUGUAGUUCAUUUACAGGUCUUGCAAGUUUGGAAUGAUGUAAUGUCAUAUUCUUAUACUCGUUUGCAUAUAUCCAUACUCAAGUUGUUCUCUGCCCACACGUAUGUAUCCAUACUCACAAUAAACAUGUAUGUACUCAUACUCCAUAUAAACAAGUAUGAUUUUCAUACUCAUAAACAAGUAUGAUUUUCAUACUCAUAAACAAGUAUGUUCUGCAUGGCGUAUGUACUAAUACUCUGCCAAAAAAAGUUCUCCACAAACGUACCAAUUUUUGUCCUCGAAAAAAUUAUCUGUGAAAAUACAUACUCUAUAAGAUAAACAUUAAAGUAAUCCUCUGUAUAUGGACAUACUCGAAAUACAAGUGUGCGUCCAUACUCUAUUAAAGUAUACUCAUUUUUUCUUAUUAAAGUAUGCGUUCAUAUUAGAGUAUACUCAAUUUUCUUAUUAAAGUAUGCGUUCAUACUUUACUUGCAGAAAAGAACGUCUGUGAACAAUUGAAUCGCUUUCUUCGUAAUACUUAUCCGGCUAGGCGCUCCCCUAAUUAUUUAUUAAAUAAUAAUAAUAAUAUUCACGUACAACCUGUAUACAUGCAGUUCGCGUAGAUCUUGGAUACCAUAUACAUACUCGUGCUUCGAACCCGUUAGAUCGCUAAUGGGCCGCACCACCCGACGCCAGCUACGUCUGCGGGAUGGCUCGACCCUCCGAUGCGUAUAAUAAAGGCUCAGAGUAGUUACUGGUACGUGUAGAAAAAAAGUGUCAUAUAUAUAUAUAUAUAUAUAUAUAUAUAUAUAAAUUUUCUCUACUUCUUAGGAGUAGUUACUCUCUCUUCUAAAACACAGUAUUAGAUGCCGCACUCCCCUAUCGGGUCACAAAGUCGAACCCGGUAAGUCACAUAUACGUGGACAAACUAUACUCCGGUUAUUCAGUCAUCGAGGAAGCUAAAUCACGUAUACAACGGUGGACAAACUGUUCUCCGGUAUUUCAGCCAUCGAAGAAUUGUUGUUUAAUCAUUAUUAUCCAUUUUCCUUUUCUAGAUUAGAGUAUCAUCUUAUAUGCGUUAAACUAUUUCUACUAGUACAUAGCCAUACACGUAUUGGGAGUUGAUGUGUAUGCAAGUACGCUCAUUGUCUACUAGUACGUAUAAAGAAAGAUGGCCAUACACAUACUCCUAUUGGUACAUGGACGUACGUAACAUAAUUGUACAGGUAUGCAUGCAUACUUCUAUACAUUUAGGUAUAUGGACAUACUUCCUAAUAAAAUACUAUGUACACAUACUCUCCUGUGAAAAAAGUAUAUACAUAUACUCUGAGUAUAAAUACAUACAUGCUUCUAAUUAAUAGUAUAAAUACAUACUCUAAUUAGCGGGCAUACUCCUGAAAUAUGCGUAUGUGAGCAUACUGUGAGUGUGCAUAUGUGAACAUGUAUUUGAACAAAAAAAGGUAUGUCUAUAUACUCUGAAAGUGUGCGUAUGUGAUCAUACUUUAAUUAAUAUACUUAAUAAGUAAUAAUGUAUGUAUAUAUAUAUAUAUAUAUAUAUAUAUAUAUAUAUAUAUAUAUAUAUAUAUAUAUAUAUAUAUAUAUAUAUAUAUAUAUAUAUAUAUAUAUAUAUAUAUUCCUUUGUACACGUACGUGUAGUUACUCUCAUCUUCAAUAAACUACAUUGUGUAUGUAUUCAUACUUUUUUAUCAGUUUGAGUAUGUUUGUAUACUUAUAUUAAGAUACUUUAGAUCUUACCACGCGAAAUUUUUUUAAAAAAAAUUAUAUUUUAAAUAUAUUACUAAAAUGCCACUACUAUAUUAUAUACAAUAAGUAUAUCCAUAUACUCUAUGUAUGUAUACGUUAUAUAUAUAUAUAUAUAAACGUACGGCCCUAUAUUGGCCGUAUCGAGUAAUUACUCAACGCUUCUCCUAAUUGGCCGUAUCGAGUAAUUACUCGUAUAAAAAACUCACCAUAUAUAUAUAUAUAUAUAUAUAUAUAUAUACUACAUAAACGUACGGCCCUUUUUUUUUAAAAAAAAAAAUAUCCAACCGAUCAACCUGCUUGAUCCGCUUUCUAUGGUCAGCAUGCAUCACCCGUUUUUUUUCUCUCACCCGCUAGCUACUCAACGCUUCUCCUAAUUGGCCGUAUCGAGUAAUUACUCGUAUAAAAAACUUAUAUAUAUAUAUAUAUAUAUAUAUAUAUAAGUCAAAAGUGAGCAGAAAAAAUACUGAGCAAUACUAAACAACAUUCAGUAUCAUCUAGUCGUACACCUAGGACCGCGAAAUACUGAAACACGAGUACUUAACAAUACUGAAUUUUGUUCAGUAUAACAUUUUGGUGUAGAAUAGCACUUGUGUGUAUAUAUAUAUAUAUAUAAUAAUAAUAAAGCACAAUUAUUUAUCUUCCUUUUGCACUAUGUAACAAUCUUGGGUCAAUGGAACCAUGAAUGCAUUCCUCCCGUCUCGUCUUUCAUGCCUCGUCGGAUCGGGGAAUCAGGUCAUGUCCUAUUCUGCGUCCGCCAACACCUUUUUCCUUGCAUCUGCACUGCACUGCACUGCUACGUACAGCGUGUGCUAUAAGCAGCAGAGGGAGUUUCUUCGAAAUUCUAUGUUCUGAUAAAAUGUGUCUCACAAAGUUGUAGGGCAGUAUAUCAGAUGCCCCGAUGCGCUCAUUAUUGGGAGUGUGUGUGAUCUGAAAGUAGGCUCUAGAAACAUCAGUGGAAAGAGCCAAAGAUUAGCAUAGACAAUUAUAUUCUUUCCGCACAAAGAAACAUCAUAUAUUAUACACAUACGUGGAAAGAAAUAUGAAAUUUAUUUUGGUUCCAAACUAGAACUUGUUUGGCUACAUUCAAAUAUACCCCGAUUUUACAUAGUUUGGGAGGAACUGAAUUGUUAUGAGUUAAACUCAUUAUGUUCAAGUAAAAAUAAAAAAAUGUUUGGUUCAACCUACUCCCCAGUUCCAAAAUAGGGCCUUGUUUACUUCCCAGAAAAUUUUGCAAAAUUUUUCAGAUUCCCCGUCACAUCGAAUCUUUAGACGUAUGCAUGGAGUAUUAAAUAUAGACGAAAAUAAAAAUUAAUUGCACAUUUUGGUCGGAAUUGACGAGACGAAUCUUUUGAGCCUAGUUAGUCUAUAAUUAGACAAUAUUUGUCAAAUACAAACGAAAGUGCUACAGUGUUCAUUUUACAAAAAAUUUUAGAACUAAACAAGGUCUUGGUGACAUUGCUUCCCGUAGAGUCAAACUCUUUUAACUUGACCAAAUAUACUACAUAAUUAAUAUCAUUUUUCAUAAUAAACUUAUUUGAAGAUAUAAGUGUUGCUAAUAUUUUUUAUAAAUCUAAUUAAAUUUUAAAAAAGUUUGACUGAUAUGAAUACCAUAACAACACUUAGUUUGAGACGGAGAAAGUACACACUAGUCAGUACACAUCACCAUCACCGCCAACUCAACAUUGGUCUCGAGUGUUUAUUUGAGCCAUAUAUGUAAGCUUCCCCAUAGAGAUUUUUUGGAGCUAUGUACAAAAAAAAAUGUAAUAUGUACCAUUCAUCGACAGAGAUGGAACGAUGAAAAAAAAAAUCAAAAGCACUAAGAAAAAGAUAAAACUAAAAGUGGCUAAAGUAUUGAUAGCACUUUUCAACCACCGUAACAAAGACUAAUAGUGCCAUGUGGAUACAUCCUUAUUCCAUAAUUUUUUUGGUUGAUGAGCUAUAUGAACUCUGGCCAUUCCGAUCGUCAGAAGGACUAGGGAAUUUUUAAAAUCCUUAUGCAUCCUACAUAUAGGAUAUGCAUAGUAAUUUGAUUUAUUAAAAUGUGCUCGACUAGGUGGCAGCCUCUUGUGCGUGGCCUAGUGCCGCGGCCGCAUCCGAUCCGCCGAGUACCGGCAAAUCUGCGUGGGCCAGGCCAAUAAUGCGAGGCCCUAGCUACCGGCGUGUUACAUGCAUAUUGCACUGAUCAUGACUGAUUUGGUCUGUACUAGCAGGCAGCUCAGGCCUUCUUUAGUAGUUCCAAAAAAUUUUGUAAAAUUUUUCAGAUUUCCCGUAACACCGAAUUUUUAGACAUAUAAAUGAUAUAUUAAAUAUAGAUAAAAAAAUUAAUUGCGCAGUUUGGUUGGAAUUAACGAGACAAAUCUUUUGAGCCUAGUUAGUCCAUGAUUGGAUAAUAUUUGUCAAAUACAAACGAAAAUGCUACAGUAUCGAUUUUCUAAAAUCUUUUAGAACUAAACAAGGCCUCACCCAAAAGCCAAAAUGUUUUUAAGAUUUUUUGUUAAAUUGAAUGUUACAGUACAUAUAUGAAGCAUUAAAUAUAAACGAAAAUAAAAAAUAAUUAUAUAGUUUUCCUGUAAAUUGUGAUAUGAAUAUUUUAACCUUAGUUAGUCUAUCAUUGGAAAAUAUUUACUACAAAUAAACAAAAAUACUAUAGUAACAAAUAACUUUUCGUUUCGGACAACUGAACAAGACCUUAGUAGAGAGCACAGUAAUCAUGCGCUUUUUGACGUUCACUGUUUUGAGUUUCCUCUGCUUUUGAGAAAGCCGUAAAGGGGCUAUUUAGUUAAGCCGUGUUUAUAAGAUUCUCCGUCACAUCAAAUCUUGUAACACAUACAUGACGCAUUAAAUAUAGACGAAAAUAAAAACUAAUUACACAGUUUGCCUGUAAAUCGCGAGACGAAUCUUUUGAUAUUGGAUAAUAUUUGCCACAAACAAACGAAAGUGCUAUAGUAGCAAAAUCCAAAAUUUUUUCGGAUCUAAACAAGGCCUUAGUGAAAAAUUUUGUAAAGUGUAAACGUAGUAUUUUUGUUUCUAUUUGAUAAUUAUUAUUCAAUAUGAAUUAAGUAGACUUAAAAAAUUCGUCUCGUAAAUUACACGUGAAGUAUGCAAUUAAUUAUUUUUUAUCUAUAUUUAAUGUUCUAUAUAUGUGCCGUAAGAUUUGAUGUGAUCUAAAGUCUCGAAAAAAUUUGCAAAAUUUUUGGAACUAAACAGCCCAAAGUUAUCUGUCAAGGUACAGUGGGACACCAGCUUACGCGAAAAAUAUUACAGGUCUUAAUCAUACACUAUCCUGUCACAAUUACAUUCCACCAAAUAUCUGUAACAGGGCAGGUAGCUGGUUUGAAGCCUUUCAUCUAGUCGAAGACGAGAUCUCCUUGAUCUCAUCCACGCUUUCUUUCAACUUUGGCUUAAGUAGGAGAGACCACUUCUACAAAAAAUGGUAGAGUCGAAAACAUGACGUGAGAAGGGUUGUUCGGUAAAUUCUUCUGAAUUGCCAUCUUCUUUCUAGCACUUCUAAUUUAGGCCUUAUUUAGUUUGUAAAAAUUUUCAAGAUUCUCUGUCACAUCGAAUUUUUGGUCACAUGCAUGGAGCGUUAAAUAUAGACGAAAAUAAAAACUAACUGCACAGUUUAUCUGUAAUUUGUGAGUUGAAUCUUUUGAGUUUAGUUACUCCGUGAUUGGACAAUGUUUGUCAAAUAAAAACGAAAUACUAGAGUAGCCAAAAACAAAAAAUUUUGCGAACUAAACAGGACCUUAGGCCCUGUUUAGUUCUCCACCCAAAAAUUUUUCAUCCAUCCCAUCGAAUCUUUAGACACAUGCAUGGAACAUUAAAUGUAGAUAAAAAAAUAAACUAAUAACACAGUUUAGUUGAGAAUCGCGAGACGAAUCUUUUAAGCCUAGUUACUCCAUGAUUAGCCUUAAGUGCUACAGUAACCCACAUAUGCUAAUGAUAGAUUAAUUAUGCUUAAUAAAUUUGUCUUGCAGUUUCCUGACGAGCUAUGUAAUUUGUUUUUUUAUUAGUCUGUAAAAACCCCUCCCGACAUCCUUCCGACAUAUCCGAUGUGACAUCCAAAAAAUUUUCGUUCCCAAUCUAAACAGGCCCUUAGUACAAUCGCAGCUUGUAGUUGCCAUGAAAAGACUUUGGGCCUGUUCCCUUCUAAUUUAAGUGGGUUGUUUGGGCUGCCGGCUGCCGCUGAACAGCCCAGCUGUUCGGCUGCAUGCCUGCAGCAUGUCCCGCUCCGUGCAGCUUCUUUCCUCUUGCUAUCUGCUGCAGCUUCUACAAUGUUGAUGGGCCGGGGUAGCUCCUGCAGCUGCAGCCAGCUGCCAUUUGAUUUUUAUAGAAAUCCUACAUUUUCAAAUACAAUUCAAACUCCUGCGUUUGUCGCCCAAUCGGCCAUUCCUACAAUUGCCCUGUACUCCGAUCUUCUUGAAAGGCGGUGUGAAUUCUCAAGUCCUCGAUCCUCGUCCUAUUUCAUUCUCGGUAGUCAAUGUUUGGGUUCGAACAUCAUGCCUUCCAGUUAAUUAUUCCAUCAAUUCCUGCCAUGGAUUCCUUUCACUCUCUUUAGACCAAUUUGCAGCCACCGUCGACACUGGCCUAUCGAUAUUCUGUACAACAAAUCAGAAAUAAGGAUGUUUUUUUUGAGGAAACUGGAGAGACCGAGGCCUCUACAGAGAGUUUAUUAAAACUGAAAGAACAAGUCAAUAGAGUACAAGAAGAGAGAAAAACAGCAAAGAGGUGCAGGCACCCUACAACUCAGGAAACAAAAAAGAAAACAAAAAAAUCAGCUCUAAACAUCUUGGACUUCUAGACUUUGUAUCCAUGAAGAAAACUGUGGUAAAAUGGAUGGCUUCACUCUAUGCUGCAGAAGAGAUAGCUCCUUUAGGAAGAUCCUUCGACAAUUCAAAAUGCUUAUCCGAACCCCAUUGAAGAUUAACUCGUUUCUCACAUUUCAAAUUGCCCACGAACGCAGAAUGAUAGCAUCCAAGGCAAAUGGGGAGGCCAACUGAUCUUUUAUUUGAGCAAAGAUGUCUGAAUAGUACACUGAAGAGGAAUGAUCACAUUGAUGAGGUCCCAACACAUAGCUGUGAAUGGACAGUCCAGAAACAAGUGCUCAAGUGUUUCUUCUAUCAGGCUGUUGCAAAAGACACAAUUGUAAGAAUCAAGCUGUAAAUUGCUCCUUCUGAGAAAGUUUCUGGUGCUCAGUCUAUCCUUGAUGAGAAGACAAAAGAAAACUUUGUGUUUCGGCUAGCAAUUACUUUUCCAAAGCCAUUUGUAGACUGGAUGAAGCACCGAGUGGCCAACCAGUAGGCGAUAGACCUUUGAGGGAGCAAAAUGGUCAGAGCCCCAACUGUAAAUCCACUUAUCUUGUCAUUGCUCAGCACAAUGCUCUCCAUGAUCUGCUGAACAUUCUGCAACUGCAAGAAGGCCGUCUGAGAGAGGGGGAGCUGAAAUAGGGAGGAGAGUUCAUCUUGUUCAAAGGCCCUUUUCACUGAGAUCUGCUUAUUGAGAGCAAAAGAGAAAAGCUUAGGGGAUGAAUCAAGAAGGAGUUGCUCAUUAAGCCUGGGCAUUCGGAUUACCUGAUUUUUUCGGGUCGAGUAGUUCGGGUAAUUUAAAAUUUGGGUAACAAAAAUUGUUACCCGAUAUUAGUAAAAAAAACACUACCCGCAAUUUCAGGUACCCGAUAAUUCGGGUUCGUGUUGGGGUAUUCCCGAUUUACCCAAAUUUUCAGAAAACAACACACUAUACAAAAUUUCAAUAGAAAUUUAUAUAUAAUUUCAGCAACAAUUUGUAUAGAAUUUGAAUAGCAUUUUGUAGAGAAUAAUAUAUUACUAUCAGUUGUUCAAACAAAGAGAAUUAUGUUCUAAUAAAUUGAUAAGUUUUAAUAUUUAACUAAUAACACAUGAUAAAUACAAAGAUAUAGACAAAUAUUUGGGUAAUUUGGGUAGUUCGGGUACCGGGGGAUACUACCCGAAUUACCCUGGGUAAUCAAAAUUGCUAUCCGAAUUUAGGAUCGGGUACCUCGGGUUCGGGUAAUUCGGGUCCGGGUCCAGGUAAUUCGGGUACGAGUAAUGGAUAUUGGGUAAUUUGCCAGGCUUAUUGCUCAUGCCAAGCAUCAUGCCAGAAAAAAGAGGAAUCCCCAAAAUGCAAUUGUGGCUUAGAAAAGCUUUUAAAGGCUUGAAGAAGCAUUGGGUUAUCUCUCCACUAGAAAGACCCCUUUUUAUGUGAUUUGGCAAUUUUUCAUUUAUAUAAUGCUUUUCCAAGAUUAGCUCAACCCAAGGAACAUCAGCCCUGUUGAAGAAUUUAUGCAGAUUUUUUUGAGAGGAGGGCAUUUUUCUGCUUCUCAAUGUCAAUGACACCUAGGCCCCCCUCAUCCUUUGGGGGCACAAACCAUCUUCCAAGUAGCUUUAGGCAUUCUCUUAGGAUUAAUAUCUGAUACCCUCCAUAGACAGUGCUCCCUAAAUUUAUCAAUCUGCUUGAUGACCCCCUUGGGCAAUUUCAGGGUGCACAUGAAGAAAGUUGGGAGGGCUGAAAACACAGCAUUAGUCAUUUGGAGCCUCCCAGCAAGGUUCAGAAAGCUUGAAAUACGAAAGAGUCUCUUCUCACAUUUAUUUAUCACUGGCAGAAAGUCUUAGGCCUUGGGUCUCUCUAUAUUAAGGGGGAGCCCCAGAUUGGUGAAGGGCAGACUCCCCUUGGAGCAUCCAAAAGUAGCAGCUAGGGUGUCUAACUUUGCAUCAGAAAGGUUUAUAGGGACCAUCAUGGACUUGUUGAAGUUAACUUUCAGCCCAGUAAACGUGGAGAAGCUGUUGAUCAGAUAUUUCAUGAAGAACAAUUGCUUGACAUCCCCUUCCAUUACAAUCAAAGUGUCAUCAGCAUAUUGGAUGAUAGGAAAGUCACUGGUAGAAUUCAGUGAGGAUAGGCAGCCUGAGCAAACCCAUUUGUAAGGCCUUGUUGAUCAUGGAUUGGAGGAAAUCUGCUGCAGUUACAAAAAGAAGGAGAGGGUCCCCUUGCCUGACACCCCUCUUGCAGUGAAUAGUUUUACUAGGAACACCAUUUUAAAGUACAGUAGAGGUCCCUGAGGAGAAGAUAGAGUCCGUCCAUUGUAAUCAUUUUUCUCCAAAGCCCAUGGCCCUCAUGAUUGUAAUCAUAACAUGGUGUUCAAUCUUAUCAAAAGCCUUCUCAAAGUCCAGCUUAAUGAUCACAAUCUCCUUCUUAGAGUGGUGGCAGAGAUGCAGAUAUUCAAAUGCCCAGCCCAGACAGACCUGAAUAGUUCUAGACUUGAUGAAUCCAUACUGAUUCUUAUGAACCAGGGAGGUGAUAUGCUGCUGAAGCCUGAUGGCCAGAAUUUUGGUGAUGAGUUUUAAUGAAGAAUUGAGUAAGGAGAUUGGCCUGAACUCAUUGAUCAAACAAGCAUUGUCCACCUUAGGAUUAAGGGUAAUAAAUGAGGAUUUGAUGCUUCUAAGGCAGACAGAUCCAUCAAAGAAGUCAUUACAGAGCUUAUAGAAGUCAUGCCUGAUAAUUGGUCAACAUCUUUUCAUAAAUUCAUUGUUGAAGCCAUCUGGGCCUGAAGAUUUAUCAUUUGGAAGACUUUUAAUCACUGAUUGAUUUCUUUUUCAAGACGACAGAUCAAUAUUCUUGUGCACAAAGAUACUAGGAUCAACCACAAAGCUGUUCAAAUCUGAGGUACCCAAUCUGUCCUUGUAAUCUUCCCACAACAUCUUUUCUUACCAGAGUGAUCAUUGACAAUAGAUCCAUCGGUCUUCAGGAGUUCCCUGAUAAGAUUACCUCUGUGCCUAAUGGUUGCAUUGGCAUGAAAGAGGUAAAAAAAGUUUUCUAUCUAACAUAGAGAGCCUGUUUGGUUCACAGACAUACUCCACCACACCACAUCUGAGAUGGCGCCACCAAAAUGGGAGCAAUUGUUUGGUUGGCGACGCAUACAUGGCAACAUAAAAACUCGCUGAAGAAGCGUCGAGGAAUCUCAUCAUAAGGUGUGCGCCAAAAAACUUCGCUAAACUUGUGGCACACCCCACCUUUUUUUAAAAAAAAGGGCUGGACGGGCAGAAGCCCCUACAGAAAUUUAUUGAAAAAAAGAAAACAGUUGGUCCAAACAAACAACUAAACAACCAGACAACUAACUAAACGGUAGCUGGCAUCCAUACCUUCACUUGGCGAGCGGUAGCUGGCAUCCAUACACGCUCAUAUACUUAGCUCACAAAAUUCUGUACCAUGCUUGUGAUAGAAAUACAACAUACAACUUGUUGCGUGGUACCUAGACAAGUUGUGGUUCUAACAUUUAUACAAUGAUCGUGUCAUGCAUAUAUGUAUUGAUAUGUCUUGAAAUUGAACUCUGAUAAACGAAUUAUGUAAUCGAUAUUUGACUUGUAAACAAUCUAAAAUGGGAAAAAUUUUGACUACAAAGUGUUAAAUUUUAUCGAGCACUACAACUUUGAUAUAGGAGAUGUCUCCAUCUAAGGUAAAUUAAAAAAAUAAAAUUUAUAGUUCAAAAUCUAAGAACUUAAUAUUUACAUCCGGGCUCCUAAACAAUCUCGAAUAAAAAUUCAAUCAACUAUAAAGUUUUAGAUCUCAUAGAGCUCUUAAUUUUCGUAUAAAUUUUUGUCUCCAUCCAACUUCAUUUGAAAAAGUUUGUACUAUAACUAUUUUUAAGGGCAGGGGCAGUAUAUUUUUAUAGGUGGUUGGCAUAAGACUGAAAAUCAUAUGUUCAGAAGUGGCUCUCUUAAACAAACCAUCCAUAAAAAUAGAUGUAUUUCUAAUGACGAUUUACUUAAUAGAAACACCCCUAAAAAUGUAUUUCCAUGGGUGGUUUAUAAGCUACGGUGCUCAGUUAGUUAUAAACGGUUUGAUAAGUAAACUAUUCCAGUAGGAGGCAUCUUAAAAAAAAUCUUUUUUUACUAGUGUAUGCACUCAUUGGAAGUAUCAUUGGGGUCACUAGAGGCUUUCGGUGCCUUUCUAGACUAGCCAUUGGAACUAGCCGUUAGGUCGCCCUUUAUUUGGCAUCCAACAUCCAGUGCCACCGGAGAUUUUUGGUGAGCUUACAAUUUUUAACAAAAUAUCACUGAAAUUUCUGAAACAUAUUGUCUUUUUCUCAGAUUUUUCUUUAUCAGUGAGGUAUGGCAGCCCGUUGUAUUAUCGUGAUGAUAUGUUGUGUUAUUUUCUCAAUGUUAUAUAAAUUGUGAUGGAUUAAAGAAUUUUUCAAGUGAAGUGAUAUCAAUUUUUUUUAAAAAAAUUCAAUUCAAAUUUAUUUAAAUUUGACCUAAUAUUUUUUAAAUUUCAUGUUCACCUUGGUGAGCACUGAUGCUCUUGGAUUCACCUCUGUAAGCCCAUCGGAGAUGCUCUGUCGUCCUCCGGUGCACUUCAUUCACCGGACUUUUCCGGUGCCUUAUGCACGACUCUGCAUAUUCUCUGUUCUGCACCUAUUUCUUCGAUGCCUCUACUUCAACUCACUAGACAUUUCUGGUGAGAUCUUCCCUUCUCUAUAGAUUAGUCCUGCACGCGUAUUUUCUGCUGUGUUAGUCCUUGGGGACCACCGAAUAAUUCUGGUGAAGGCUGUCUGUAUUCAUUUUGAUCCUUCUCUUCAUCUCUUCACUUCCGGUCUUGUUCAACUUGGUGUUAUGGACAUGUAGCAUAUGUCAUGUAGGUUUUUAACGGCAGCCCUAAUGUGUUUGUUUGAGCCUUUGAGGUGUUGAUCGCUCCGAUCUUCAUGAUGCCUAAUUCCAUGCCAACCGCAUCCAAUGAAUUAAACCUAACAGUUUUUUCGGCUCCUGAUUAGAGCUGUUGUAAAAAAUAUCUAGCAUAAGCCCGCUGGUAAGGGCCACUAUGCAUAGAAUUUAUAAACAAUAACACCAAUCCGUUAGUGUGUGCUUGUACCAGUGCUCGUGAGCUGCACAUUUAUUAAUGUGCUCUAUCUUCGUGUUCCCGUUUGUACUAGCAGCAUAGAGGCUAGAGUGUGGUAUGCCCACAUUCACCAAGUUCCCGGAACGAUGGGGUCAUGGAAUGAGGAACGCUCUUUGAGAAAGGAUUUUCUACUGUCGGAACGAAACUGAUCUACGAUCCCGGUGACUCAUGUGACUGUGGGUAUGCGUAUGUCUAGUGCAAUGCGUUAAUAAAUUUUAAAGAUGUGGAACGGGUUCACUUUUACACCCUCUAUUAAAAAUAUCGGUUGUUUAAGCUUUGUCCCAAGUGAAAUUAAACUUGGGUAUCUUUAACUUUACAUGAAAAAUAUAAUAAUAUCUAAAGCGUUGUAUUAAUUUAUUCCUUAAAUUAUGUCUUAAUUGGUCAAAGUUAAAGAGAGUUUUAUAGUUAUUAGGACAAAACCAAAUUGGAAGAAACCUGCAUUUACAAACAUGGGCAUUACCGAAACACAACAGAACCAAGCGUAUCUAUCUUUUCUUUUUGAGAACAUUAUUCCGGAUAUCUUCAUUUUUUUUAGAAAAUAAAAAACUUCCGGCCGGCCUCUGCAUUACAAUUUACAAUGUUAUCAGCUUAUUGUUAAUCUCUUCAAUAGUUCAACCAUUCUUAUUGGAAUGCAACUAUGUUCAAACACAAAACCAACGGCAAGCAGUAAAAGCGAGACGAUAACAUGGAGUUAGUUAUUAUUAAUCAAACACGGAGGGCAGAUAACAGUUAUCGGAAAGAAGUUCAUCUCAAAGACUCAAACAAGCAGACGGAAAUCGGCCAUUGGAUGAUCACACGCAGCUCGAAUUUGCGUUGCUUGUCGUCCUAGCUUAGCCAAUGUAGUACAAGGGGUCGGGCAGCUUGAAGGUGCGGGCGCCCUCCGGUGCGCCGAGGAUGUCGCUCCACUGGUCGCCGAUGUUGCCGACGAUGACAUAGCCUCCGUCCUGGAGCUUCUGGCGUUCACCGGACUUGAAGCCAAUGGCGGUGCCCUUGAAGCCGAUGGGGUUGAGCAGCAGCUUCUCCCAGCCGGAGUAGCCCUGGCGGCGGUGGUUGGCCACGGUGAUGGCCCUCUGGUCCUCGGUGCGACCCGUCAGGAGCACCGGCUUGAUGCCGAGCGAGAUGAGCUUGUUGAAGAGCCGCAGGUACUCGUUGAAGUCUCCGGCAGCACCGGUGCGCUGCCCUCCAGCACGUACUCGUUGAAGCUCGUGGCGUUGUACGGCUUAGUACUGUGAUCAAGAAAAGAAACACGCUGAUUAGCUAGGGCUGCAGGUUGUUAAACGUAUAGUUUAGUACUAUGAGUGGUAUGUAAAACCAUCUAGUCAUUUAUGUAUCCUCUGGUUCGAACUCUACAUUGCUAGUAGUUUUUUUUCCCUGAGAUGUGAAUGUGAUUGCUACUGGGGCAGAGAAAUUUUGCUUUUCUCUGCUGUGGACUUUCCCUGAAUGGAAAGCAGGUGAGCCGUAUGCCCGUAUCUGAUUAAUUGAUGGACUCUUUCUUAAAUCCAACGUGGAGCAGAAAAAAAAAGUAUAGCAAAAAAUUUGCAUUAUUAGGUCAGUCUCAAUGGGAGUUUCAUUUGCAUUAAAUAGGUUGCCACAUAGGCUGUUUUGAUGACAUGGCAGUGUAUUUAAGAAGAGAGAGAAGAAAUGAGUUUCAUCUAGAUGAAACUCUCUUCGCACGAUUACCAACUCUCUAUGAGUCUUGGAAUUAAAUGCUUAUGAAACUAUGAAAUGAAACUCUCCAUUGAGAGUGGGUGUUUCAUUCAAGUUUCAUUUUAUUUCAUAUGACAUGACAGUCUUGGAAACAACGUCAUGAAACUCUCCACUGAGACUGGCCUUAUUAUUAUUAUUAUUAUUAUUAUUAUUAUUAUUAUUAUUAUUAUUAUUAUUAUUAUUAUUAUUAUUAUUAUUAUUAUUAUUAUUAUUAUUAUUAUUAUUAUUAUUAUUAUUAUUAUUAUUAUUAUUAUUAUUAUUAUUAUUAUUAUUAUUAUUAUUAUUAUUAUUAUUAUUAUUAUUAUUAUUAUUAUUAUUAUUAUUAUUAUUAUUAUUACUACUACUACUACUACUAUUAUUAUUAUUAUUACUAUUAUUAUUAUUACUAUUAUUAUUAUUAUCUUAUUGUUGUUAUUAUCUUAUUGCUGUUGUUGUUAUUAUUGUUCUUGUUAUUGUAAUUGUUUAUUAUCAUUGUUAUUAUUAUUUUUAUUAUCAUUGUUGUUGUUGUUGUUGUUGUUGUUGUUAUUGGUACUACUACCACUAGUACAAAAAUCAUUUUUGCUGGCACGUUUUUUUUUUCACAGGCGGUUCACAAUAUCUUGGCGCUAGUAGAAAAAUUUCAGCGGGCCCAACAAGAGAACCGCCUAUGUAAACACGUUUACACAGAUGACCUUCUUAAUAAAACCGCCUGUGUAAACUUUCCAUUUACACAGGCGGCUUACGAUAAAAACCGCGUGUGUAAAUACCAUUAACACAGACGGCCGAGUUACGGCAACCGCCUGUGUAAAUGUGUCUUUUUACACAGUCUGUUUGUAUAGAGGACCGCAUGUGCUAAUGUAUUUACACAGACGGCCCUCUUUAUGAGCCCCCUGUGUUAAGUCUGCUAUAAAUACCCUUCGUCUACCUCCACACAAGAACAGUUACUCCCAUGAGCUCUCCACACUGGCGAACCACACGAUUCCAGUUUCCAAGGGGGGAGGUUUUGAUCUUCAUUUCUUUGGUGAGAAACUUCUAAAAGGUUAGUUAGAGCCCUUGAUGCUAUUUUUUUAGUGAUUCUUUGGUUCAAUUCUUGUAUUGGAGGUGCUCUAGAUCUAGAGUUCAUGAAGCAUUCUUGCUUAGGGUUAGGGUUCAUAGGGCAAGAGAGAGAGUUUUAGGUAAAUUUUUAUGUAAAUUCAUAGUAAAUUGUAAAAAUUAAAAAAAAAAUAGAAAAUAAAUACUUUUUAGAAUUCUUGUGAGUAGAUCUAUACAAUAGAGUAAUGAUGAGGACAUUUUGAAGUUUAUAAUUUUGAUUCAGUUUUAGUUUUUAUUUUUUCAGAUGAAUUAGACUUUAUAAACUCAAACAUUAAAAUGCUGAAAAUCAUAAAGUGGCAAAUAAAUACUUUUUCAAAUCUUUGUGCGUAAAUACUUUAUAGAAAUCCUUGAAUUAUUCCUAAAUUUUAUACAAUUGUUUCUUAUAAUUAUGAAAAUGAGUUUAAACAAUUAUUUAAAUUCCAUAAAUUAUAAACUCUGUAAGGGGUAGGUUUUCAUCUCUGUUUAAUAGAAGGAGGUUAGUAUCAUAGUUAAGUCUUUUUUCGGGGGUUAUAUUAGUUUUGUUUUUAGAUUGACCUACAUUAAUUGUUCUUAACUAAUUACAGCUAAAUAUAGAGAGAUCAUUAUGGAUGUACAACUUAUCAAGAUUGGACCCAUCAUAUGUAGUGGAGGUCCAAAAAUUUAUUGAUGUCGCAAAGAUACAUGUUCGCAGAACAAAGGCGAAGCACAUAUGUUGUCCAUGCGCAGACUGUAAAAAUAUUGUGGUAUUUGACAAUGUAGAAGCAAUUACUUCCCAUCUGGUUUGCAGAGGAUUUAUGGAGCACUACUUGAUUUGGACAAGACAUGGUGAGGAUAGUUCUGCACCUUAUAUGCGGACAACUGACAACACUGCAACUAACAUCAAUGUGGAGGGUCCAAUGCCACCUCUCAAUGAAUUUCAUGCUAUGCCAGAUGUCAAUAAAACUCAUACGUCUGAUAUCAAUGAAACUCAGCAUGCUAACAUAGAUGCUGUUGAAGAUGCAGAUUUCUUAGAGGCAAUAAUGAACCGUUGUGCAGAUCCAUCAAUAUUCUUCAUGAAGGGAAUGAAAGCAUUGAAGAAGGCAGCAGAGGACACUUUGUACGACGAGUCGAAAGGUUGUACCAAAGAGUGGUCGACAUUACGUGCUGUUCUUCAGUUUUUGACGGUGAAGGCUAGACAUGGUUGGUUUGAUGCUAGCUUCAAUGAUUUUUUGCAUGUACUUGGAGACCUUCUUCCUAAGGAGAACAAAGUGCCUGCUAACACAUACUAUGCAAAGAAGCUAGUCAGUCCACUUACGAUAGGUGUUGAGAAGAUCCACGCAUGUAGAAAUCAUUGUAUUCUAUAUCGGGGUGAUCAAUUUAAAGACUUAGACAGUUGUCCAAACUAUGGUGUUAGUAGAUACAAGACAAACAAAGAUUAUCGGAAGGAAGAGAAUCUAGCCUCUGUUUCUACAGGGAGGAAGCGAAAGAAGACCCAAACAAAGACUCAACAAGACAAACGCUCAAAGCCUAGUAGCAAUGAAGAAGUGGACUAUUGUGCAUUGAGAAGAAUUUCUGCUUUGGUGAUAUGGUAUCUCCCCGUGGUUGAUCGUUUGAGGUGUUUGUUUGCAAACCGUGAAGACGCUGAACUUAUGACCUGGCAUGCUUCAGAUGAAAGGAAAGAUGAUGGAAAGUUACGACAUCCAGCCGAUGCAAAGCAAUGGAAAGAUUUCGAUAAGAAAUAUCUAGACUUUGCUGACGAUCCACGGAAUGUAAGGUUUGCACUGAGUACUGAUGGAAUGAAUCCAUUUGGCGAAAGGAGCAGCACGCACAGCACAUGGCCGGUGAUCCUGACAAUAUACAACCUUCCUUCUUGGUUGUGUCAAAAGAGAAAAUAUCUUUUGCUAACCAUUCUUAUUUCUGGACCUACACAACCUGGAAUUGAUAUGGAUGUAUUUCUAGAGCCCUUAAUGCAAGACAUGCAAACACUAUGGGAAGUAGGUGUGGACAUGAUCGAUGCGUUCCGCAAAGAGACAUUCACAGUGAGAGCAAUUAUUAUUGUCACAAUUAAUGAUUACCCUGCUCUCUUCUCAUUAUCAGGCCAGUUCAAGGGAAAGGUUGGUUGUGUAGAGUGCAUAGAUGGAACAUGACACGUGUCUCUUCCUGCAUCUAACAAGAUAGUGUACAUGAGGCACAGAAGAUGGCUACCGGCAGGCCAUAAGUACCGCUUACAAAAGAUGAAUAAGUACUUCGACAAAAUUGAUGAAUCAAAAUCUACUGCUCCAUCAGGUUGUAGUAAAGGGCAUAGAGUGUACAAGAUAGUUGAGAAUGUGAAGUUUGUUUUUGGAAAGAAGACCAAAGAUGGGAAACCAAGAAAGGUUGUCAAGGCAAAUGAAGGGCACACAAGUCCAUUUUCUUCAAGUACUUAUCGUACUGGAAAGACUUGGACGUACGACAUGCGAUCGAUGAUAUGCAUGUUCAGAAGAAUGUGUUUGAAAGCAUAAUUGGAACCUUGUUAGACAUAAAGAGCAAGACAAAGGAAGGUCUCAAUUCACAUUUGGACAUGCAACAUUUAAAGAUCAGAAAAGAACUUCACCCUGUACUCCUAGAGAAUGGGAAGUACCACCUACCGGCAGCAAGCUACAACCUGAACAGAGAGGAGAAACAUGCAAUGUGUGUGUGGUUCAAGAAUUUAAAAGUUCCAUCUGGUUUCUGCUCCAACAUAAGGAGUCUUGUGUCGAUGAAAGACCUUACAUUCACCAACUACAACUCACAUGAUUGUCAUGUCAUGCUGACCACUUUUCUUCCUAUCGCCAUCAGGGCUAUAAAUCCAGUGUUCUUAAAGAUGGCAAUCACAUAGCUGUGCUACUUCUUUAAUAAGAUAUCUGAGAAGGUAAUUGUCCGUGAUGAGUUAGAGUCCCUACAAAAAUUUGCUGCAGAGACAUUGAGCUAGUUGGAGAUGUGCUUUCCCCCAUCGUUCUUUGAUAUCAUGGUACACCUUGUUGUUCAUUUGGUACCUCAAAUAGAGGCAUUAGGUCCCAUGUAUUUCCAUGAAAUGUGGACGUUUGAGCGUUUCAUGUCAAUAUUGAAUGGCUAUAUGUCAAAUCGUGCUCAUCCGGAGGGUUCCAUGAUAGAGGCGUACACUACAGAAGAGGCCAUUGAGUCUGGAGGACCAUUAUGUAAUAAUCUCCUAAAAGACCAGGUAUCAAUUGGUUUGCCUCCAUUGCGACAUGAGGGAAGGCUUGAUGGACGCGGGAGAAUGGGACGGAAAUCAUUCAUCCCGCUAGAUUACAACAUAGUCCUAGAGGCACAUUAUAGCAUACUACAACAACUCAUAAUAAUGGACCCAUUCAUUGAGCAACACAUGAAAGAGCUUCGUGAGAAGAAUCCAGGAUGCACAAAUGAUUGGGUACACAAGAAACACAAGCGUCAGUUCACCACAUGGUUAAAGGAUUUGGACAUGACAGAGGAAUCAGAAACCAUCAAGAUUUUAGCAUCUGGACCAUCAAGCCAGGUCACAUCAUGGCAGAGCUAUGACAUUAGUGGCUUUUCAUUUUCCACCAGCUAUAGGGACACCAAGAGCAUGGCACAGAAUAGUGGCGUUUGAUGCGAGGCUAUAGAUGAUGCAACUGGUGAAACAACUACAUACUUUGGGUUCAUUGAUGACAUAUGGGAGGUAGAAUAUGGUCCACUCCUGCAAAUUCUAGUGUUUUGAUGCCGAUGGGUUCAAGAUAAACAUGUCACUGUGGAUAACUAUGGCCAGAGAGUUCUUGACCUAAGUAAAGUAGGUUAUAAAGAUGAUCCGUGGAUCCUUGCUAAACCGUGCCGCACAAGUCUUCUAUGUGGAACAAAUCCUUUCUAAGGAUGAAAAGAAAAAUAGCCAAAAGCCAAAGCAUAUAGCUAUUCAUGGAAAGCAACAAAUUAUAGGAGUUGAUGGUGUAAUAGAUUUAGAGGAUGUUAACCAAUUCAGCGAGAUGUCUCUUUUUACAAACUUUCAAGAAAACAUAAAAAAUGUUGAGAAAAGUAUCCCACAAUCCUCAUUGCCAUGGGUGCGCCACGAUGGACAAGGAAGGACUGUAGCACGCUAGAUUCUAUAAGUUGUCAUUACUCAUGUAUCACUUAUCAUUUGUACCUUAUGCUACUAUUUCUUAUUAAGCAACAUGUUUACAUUUUCCAUUUGUUUUAUAUCUUAUGCUAUUUUAUAAUAUUUGUACAAUUUAUUACGGAUUAUUUAAUUUUUGAAACAAACAUAAUUAACAAACCAUUAAUCACUAAGUAAAUUAAUUAACAAAGCACUCCUUUUCUAUUUUAACAGAGGACGUCCGCGCCACCGUUGAGGUGAGCCGAGGUGUGGCGGCGGCAGCCGUGCGCGUCGCCGCCCCUCCCAACGCCGGCGGCAGCCAGGCAGCUUGCUGGGCCCUGGGCCGGGUAGGCCGCCCUUGCUGCCUUUUUUUUAGUUUUUUGUAAAUUAUUUAUUUGUUAAUUAUUGAUUAAUUAUUUAAUUGUUAAUUAGUAAUUAUUUGUAAAUUAUUUAUUACUUUAUUAAUUAUUGAUUAAUUAAUUAUUUGUUAAGUAGGGUUUCUUAAUUAGGGUUUGUUAGUUAUUUAUUUGUUAAUUAAUUAUUUAUUUAUUAAUUGUUUGUUAAGUAGGGUUUCUUAAUUAGGGUUAGUUAGUUAAUUAAUUGUUAAUUAUUUAUUUAUUUAUUAAAUAUUGAUUAAUUAAUAAAUUGUUAAGUUAUUUAUUUGUUAGUUAUUAAUUAGUUAUUUAUUUGUUAAGUUAUUAAUUAGGGUUUGUUAGUUAUUAAUUAGUUAUUUAUUUAUUAAUUAUUGAUUAAUUAAUUAUUUGUUAAGUAGGGUUUUUAAUUAGGGUUAUUUAUUUGUUAGUUAUUUAUUUAUUAAUUAGUUGUUAGUUAUUUGUUGAGUAGGGUUUCUAAAUUAGGGUGUCUUAGUUAAUUAUUAAUUAGUUAUUUAUUUGUUAAGUAUGGUUUCCAGGAUGUCCGCUAGUGUUAAUUAGGGUUUGUUAAUUAAUUAGGGUUUGUUAAUUACAGUUUGUUAGUUAAUUGUUUAUUAAUUAUUUGUUUGAUUAGAUGAGUACUCCAUCGAAUGUUGGAGCCCAGAUAGAAACACCGGGAUCCGACACUUAUAGAAGCCCGAGCGUAUCACCACGUGAAUCCCCCACAUCUAAGAAGGCUCGUCUAGAGUUGGAACAUGACCCGACAUACGAGCCUCAAGCUGAUCCGGAUGAUGAUGAGGUAUAUAUUGUAGUAAAGUGUCUAUACAAGAGAAUACAUGUGUAUAUAUGUAUGUACCUAACAAUUGAAUGGACAGAAGGUGUUAUCUCAAGUUGUUGCCGAAAUGGAGGCAGAAGAACAAGAUGUUCAGAAGGACACGGCGCCUCAAACGACUGGGACAUCCUCUGAGCCAAGAAGUAAAACAAAAAAAGUGAUCGGGCAGAAGAAGUUUAUCAGAUUAUAGAGUUAAGUCCGAGCGGAGAGCCCUUAGCACCUCUAGAGGCGCUACCCAAAUUUAGGGCCGCAAUUGGAUUUUUAGUAAAAGAGGAAUUUGAUAUCACUUGGAGUGAUUGGAGUAUGGUGCCACAAGUGAAAAGGACCACUUGCUGGAAUCGCUUGUGCACUUGAUUUAUUUUUCCGGAUGGUACAGAUGAUUUGGCCAAGGGUUUUGUCAUGAAGCAAUUGGCAAUAUCAUUCCGGGGCUAUAGGCACGAUAUGAACAAAAAGUGGUUGCAGAAGGGACCGGACCCGACGAAGCGGUACCCUAUCACAGAGGCUCAGUGGGCAUGUUUUCGUUUGAUGAGAGAAUCGGAUGAUGCCAAGGCUAAGAGCAAAGCCGCCUCUGAACUCGCGAAGAGGAACAAGUAUCACCACCACCUUGGCACUGGUGGUUAUAAGACCAAGAUUCCUAAAUGGAGGGCAGAAGACGAUGCAAAGAGGAGAGAGGGCCAUUUGGAAUUGACCGAUAUAGUGCCUGAAAGGAGUGCGAAUUGGCUUCGCACUCGGAAGGCAAACACUAAGAGCGAUGAGAUGUCAUGUCCCGAUGAGAUUAGAGAAGUUGCCGACAAGGUUUUGGAAGCAUCAAACCUGGAAAAGAAAGGUGCCUUCAAGUCACAGAGGGAGAGGGACAUCCUUACCCAUGCUCUAGGUAACCCCGAGCAUCCAAGACGUGUACGGGGAUUCUCCUCCAGAAUUAGUUGGAAAGAAGGAUUCGGUGAUGAGUGGAAAGACAUGUAUAAGAAAAGAGACCGACAUAAGGAGAAAAUGAAAGAUUUUUUUGAGGAGCAGGCUGCAAAAAAGUUUAGGGAUAUGAUGGAAGACUUCUUUACAAAUCCUGAUCCUAAAGUGAUGAAGCAGUUGGCAGGAGCAGUGUCUGCUCAACAAAUGUCCUCACAAGCUCCUUCGCAUAUGCAGCUUGUACCAGCUCAACCCUUGGAGCGUCAAGAGAUGGCCACACAAUCUAUGCCCUUUCCAAGCAGUAUAGUGUCAACAACAAAUAAGGACCAUUAUCCAGUUGAUGAUAUUGAUAGACCUUGGCCUUGCUCCUUGGUCAUAUCCUAUGGCCUUAAGAAUCUGCAUACAAAGCAAGUGGCCACCGGCAAUGCUAUCCCAGGACGUACAUUCCAUACUGUUGACAUGCAAGAUGCAUACUGUAGGGUGGAAGUGUUGACGGUCGAGGUCGGAUAUGAAGACGACUUCAUAGACAUCCCGACCUCUUGAGGGUAUAGAGAAGCUUGGACAAGCAAUCAACAACUUCAUACAAUGGCCGAGACGGUACGUAAGGUUGAUUGAUCCACCAGCGCCACCCUCUCCAAGCAUAGUGCCUCAACCAUCCCAAGAGGCCGAAACAUAUCAACAGCCACCAUCACCAAUGCAUGCUCCAGCAUCCCCGUACAUUUAUGAGCCACCACCAUCCUCCCCAAUACAUGAGAUGGCAUUCUUGCAGAAUGAGCCCGAGGUGCCAGCCAAGGAGAACAUGCCUGAGCAGCAGACUCCGCCAUCCAAGGAGAAUAAGCAAACUCCCCCACCACCUCCAAAGGAGAAGGAUGAGCAGACUCCCCCACCACCUCCAAAGCAGAAGGAAGAUGAGCAAACUCCCCCAGCAGCACCGGCCUCUAAGAAGGUGAAGAAAUUUCCAAUUCCAAAAUUGAUUUCUCCCUAUGAGCCAAAAAAGAGGAAAGCAGCAGGCACAGCUCUCUUUCUGAAAGGACUUGGAAAGCAGCGGACGACACGGCUUAUUGAGCUCGAACCGUCAUAGAAAAAGGAAGCCACCGCCCAGUCAAUAGAAGCCAUGCCCCCAUCAAAGGAAGCCCCAAGUGGCGAUGUACAUGUCAAACAGCCAUCAAGUCAACCAUUGACCCUAAAGGAUAUCAGAAAGCCAACGAUUGAUGAUUAUGUCAAUGUCCCCAGUGACUAUGUGCCCGGAAGGCCUAUGCUCCAAUGGACGCUGCUUGAUAAGAUUCAAUGGCCGAUAAAAAGGUUUCAUGACUGGUACAUGAGAGCAGUGUAUGCUGGCCUCCAUGCAAUCAGAGUUGAUAUACCAGCAGACGUGUUUGCUACUGGUAACGAAAAAAGUAACGCAUUUGUUACCUUUGAGGACAUGCACUUGUUAUUGAACUAUAGGCGGCUUGACGUCCAACUCAUAACAAUUUGGUGUCUGUAAGUAUCACUCAUGCACACACAAUUAUUAUUAAUAUGUAGUGUGAAACUCUAAUAUGUAGAUGUUGUCUGUAGUUUGCAAGAUCAUGAGCAGAGGUCAUUAUUAUCUACCGGAUCGAUGGUCGGUUAUCUGAGCCCUAUCAAGUUACAAGAAAAUAUGCACAAAUUUGUAUUAUCAAAGGAAGAUAGAGCAAAGAUAGAGGAAUACAAAACACCAGAAGAAGUUGCAGAAGCUAUAAAAGAGUUGCAAAGAAAAUAUGAGGAUAAUUAUGCCCUCUAUUUUGGUAGAUCAAUGCUGAGGUAUAAUCAUAGGGAUUUUAUAUUGGCACCUUACAACUUUAGGUAAGCUUGACUUCAUAUACGUACUUCAAAUAAUUAUCGUGUAAACAAUAUACAUGUGUCGCUCACUCAUUUAUUCAUGCAGUGACCAUUGGAUUGUUUUUUAUAUUUAUCACUUCGAAGGGAAGGUGCUUGUCCUAGACUCUUUACAUGUUCCUCUCGAGAAGUAUCAACCAUUUUUGGUUCAAUUAGAAAGGUGAGCCAACAUGAAACCACAUGCGUACUUUUCAAAAUAACUUUAGUGAUUUAUAUUCGAUAUCUACAGGGCAUGGCGGUUUUAUAAGAAACAAAAGGGACCGGUCGACGCCACACGCUCAGAUCCUAGGGUGCCAUUGAUGAUACAACACCACUAUUCGGUAAGUUGUCCGAACACAUUUCAUCAUAUAAAUAAUACAUAAAGCAUGGAAAAUUUAGAAUAAUCCGUUGCUCAUUAUAUAGUGCCACAAGCAACCACCUAGAUCGGUCUAUUGUGGGUACUAUGUCUGUGAGUUUAUAAGGCAGCGGGGACGUUACGUCAGGGACAAAAAUAUGGUAAAUAAUAUCUAUGUAUGAAGUUUUCUUAUUAAAGUUGUAAAAUUAUAUAUUGAACAUGUGUCAAUCAUGCUUUUUAAACUUUGUUUCCAGCAAAAAAAACAAGGAAAGGACGUGCCCUUUACACCAAAGACUCUGGAAGAUAUAGUAGCAGACUUGUGUGGUUUUAUUAUGAGAGAAAUAAUUCUAAGUGACGGUGCAUAUUUUGAUCAUGAGGGCGAUUUGGCAAGUGAUAAAUUUAGAGUGCUGACAGACAUAGCAGGUCUAAAUCUGAAGUGAAAUGACAUGUAAACACUAUAUGGUUGUGCGGAUAACAUGCAUUGACGUAUAUAUAUAUAUAUAUAUAUAUGUGUGUGUGUGUGUGUGUAAUUUUAUGGUUGAUGUUUGAUUUCAUGUUUACAAUUCUAUAAUAUAUAUAUGUGGUGUAUGUAUGAUGUGUGUGUAUGUGUGUGUAUAUAUAUAUAUAAAUGAUGUUUAGCCCUGUGGUGGGAAAAAUUAGAAUUUGAAAUAUAUAUAAAAAAUUAUUUACACAGGCGGUGUAGUGUGAGCCGCCUGUGUAAAAAUACAUUUAUACAGGCGGCUCACCUUGUCAGCCGCUUGUGUAGAAAUACAUUUACACAGGCCGCUGGCUAGGUGAGCAGCCUGUGAAAACCUAAUUUUCACAGGUGGCUCACACAGCCCCGCCUGUACUGUGGUCCAUUUUGUACUGACCCUGGUAUAGGUGGUGGGCUUAGCCGUCUGUGAAGAUGCUUUUAGCACCGCCUGUAAAAAUAUUUUCUGUAGCAGUGUACUAUUGCUGUUAUCAUUACUAUUAUUAUUACUAUUAUAUUAUUAUAUAGAUAAUUAGUAAUAGAUUUAGAUAUAGACAGAUAUAGAUAUAGAUUACUGGAUAUAGAUAUAUACAUGGAUAUAGAGAUUACGUCCGUUGGUUGAAUCGCGUCGUAUGUGUCGUGUCGUGUGUGUGUACGUACCCGAAGCCCUCUCUGGCGUAGUAGGGGAAGGUGGAGAGCGAGGUCUCGUCGACAUCAAACACCCACACCUCCUUGCCGUUGCCGGCGAGCUUGAGCCCCUCGGCGUACGCGAUGGCCUCGUCGACGACGACGCGGGAGUCCCCGGCGAUAUUGCUGGCCGAGCAUGUAGUGGCCGACGUAGUCCUUGCAGUUGGCGGGCACCGUCUUCCAGUCGCGCUUGUUGUAGGCCUCCACGGCGAGCCGCCAGCUAUCGCACGGCACGCCGGCGAGCCGGCCCAGGUCUCCGGCGGAGCCCAGCAGCGGGUGCAGCGCGUGGAUUAGCGGCGUGGCCACGCCUUCUUGGAGAUGGGCCGCGGCUUCCUCUGUCGCGCGCACCGUGGGCAACCGGAUCAUGUUCAGAUCCCAUGCGGCGCCGGUGGCCAUGAGAGCAGCCACGAGCAGGACGAGCCUGGCCACCGCCGCCAUUAGUAGAUGAUGAUUCCUCCUGGCUUGGUCUUGGGUGAAGUGUUAUUGCUUGUUGCAAUGGCCAACUGGCUGUGGGGCACAUAAAUAGAGGAUGGUUUGUAUCUCCCCUAAUAAUGCACCGAGUUUUUCUUUUCUACCUCCACACCAAAAAACGUCCCCCGCUGAGGAGCCCUCUCUCCAUCCAUCCAGAAAAGUGUACCCAGAAGUUUUUCUUUCCUACCUCCACACCAAAAAACGUCCCCCGCUGAGGAGCCCUCUCUCCAUCAAUCCAGAAAAGUGUACCCAGAAACACAACAUCUUUAAAAUAGACCGUCUAGAUUUAAUCUAAGUAUUCUCUCUCCUUACUCACUCAAAUCCAAGGGCUAAGAUUGCUCGUAUCAACCUCCUCAGCCUUUGCUGUCCGCCCCCAACAAAAACAAAAACACCUGUUGCGCCGCCGCUAAUCACGUCUAUCGCGUCUCGUGACUCUAAUCCCAACGCUCGCACCGAGGGACUCCUGCUGCUCGCCGUGAAUCAUACCGGCGCCACACACGAACAUCUGCUAAUCACAACCACCGAGUGCACACAAUCGCCGAGACGGGACCAUCACCGAGCAGCCGAUGCAGAUCGAGCGUCCACACAUUCGGCCGCCGGUGGAGUCAGGCAUCCAAUCCGCGCAGCGGCGGCCGGUGCCGAGUGCAGAUCAGGUACUUGCUUGCUGCCCCUUGUUACCAUUGUCAGGCAUCCAUGUAUCAGCAGUGCAGAUCCUGGUGCAUGCUUGCUGCCCCCUGUUACCAUUGUCGCAAAGACGACAGUGCUACUUGUUUCAAAGUUGGAGCCAUGUCUUCUCAGUUUAUGUUAUAAGGGACAACUCAAAUUUUGUUCUCUCUUGCCUUUUGCAAGGACUGACAUACUGAAUGAAAUAAAAAAAUAAAAAAACUGAAUGACUAAAUUGGAUGUAGAACUAAAAUAAAAAAAAUACAUACGAUCCAAGUUAUAUAUAAUAAUAUAUAAUAAUAAUAAUAAUAAAAGAUAUUGUAUUAUUAGGGUAGAUAAAAAAAUAGGAUCUCAUCAUGUUUCUUUUUUCCAAUGAUGUUUUGUUGUCAUCCCUCGGUCCUCACUCUAUUCUCAGACCGAGUAAUAUAUAAUAUGAUUUUUAGAUUAUUAUUUAUCAGUCUUACAUAGAAAAAUGGGAACGCCAAAAAAGGGACGGAUUUCGCUUAGCGAUGUAACAAACAUACAUACAUAUUCCAGAUAUAAGCAUAUACACAUAUUGCAAUGAAAUAUUAUAUACAACGCCAUAAAUAAUAAAUAAGAAACCUCCAUGUCCACAGCUUGCAGCGAAAAACAACUUAAGAGAGACGAAAGGAAUAGGAAACAACGUGAGUACCGUGUUAGAAAAGAGGGCUCAAGAAACGGACGAGGAACAGGAGGAGAGGAAUAAGAGGCAGCGUGAGUACCGUGCUCGCCGAAAGGCCGAAACAAGUGCACUUUCAAAUGUACCGGAUCACCAGAUGCAUGAUCUUCGCUAUUCUUGUGUGGUAUAAGAAUAUGAUGUUUAUUUUUGUUCAUGUCCUUUAAAUAGACUAUGUUGUAGGAACCCAUUCAACUUAUGGGACACCUUUCUCGGCCAUCCUGCAGCCAUUGUGCGAGGGAUGCAUUGUAGCCCCAAACAUGAACUUUGUUGACAUGGAUAUGGCAGGAACCUUGCUCGGAGUAGGUCAAGCAUCACCAUCAGAGACCUUGGAUUCCGAGAUCUUUACUGGACCACCCUCGGUUCAAGACAAAGAAAACCAAAGCCCAUGUCAUUCUCCAAUAUGGUUGCAUUGAAACAAUAACUACUACGUCAGAGUGAGGCAUCAGGUGUCUGGAGAUAAUGCAUUUCAGCAAUCUCCUCAAAUAGUGGAUCCAGGUGUGUGUCAUUUAGUAAAAUUUAUACAAAAAAUAGUUUAGGAUCUAGGUGUGUGCCUUUUAUUGAAAAUUUUACACUAACUAAUUUUUAAUAUUUAUAUGACAAUUAGUGAAAUUUUUGCACUGACUAAUUUUUUAUAUGCCACCAUAACAACAAAUUGUUCAUCAGUUUCCAGUUCACUUGGCAACAAGCUAUUGAGAAGAGAGAAAUACAACUUUAUGGAAGCCUAAAAAAACAGACAUUAUUGGAGAAAAAAGGGACUACGCAAGGGACCUCAAGUUUGUUUGUUGUAAGUUGAUAUAAUUAUUCCCUUCAUGUGUAUAUAUAAUUGUAAUAAUUAAUUAAAUUCUAAUAAAUUUUGGAAAAUCAACAGUCUAUAACUCAGUUUGGGCGAGAUCCAUGGUGUUGUGACAAGAUAGAAAUAAUGACUAGCAAAAUUGUUUGAAUGUUGGCCUGAUAUGGACUACAAAAUUCAAAAUUGCAACAAUGUAAGAUAUUAUUCCGUAAAUUCCUUAUAUUUGUUUACAGGUUCUAUUCCCAUAUUGGCGUGAUAGACACUAUAUUUUAUUCAUAUUAGACAUAAGUAACAAAUUUUUGUACAUUAUUAAUCCGAAUUCUCCAAAUCUAUGGCACAUGACUGAUGAUCCAAGCAAGCCAUAUACACCUAUACUAAAUAUUAUUUUGAAUCAUUUCAACCUUGCCAUGAAAUUAGCAAAUCCUAUAUGGAACGACAAUAUUUUUCUCUGGCGUCAUGAAUUCAUAAAAAAAUCAUCCAAAAAGCAAGGACUGGUAAAAACUUAUUUUAAUUUUUUUAUCUUUUUUAUCAAAUAGUCAUUUGAUUUUAUCUACAACAAACAAACACUUUCUCUCUUCUUCUAUAGGAAAUUGGCAGGCUUUCUCGUAUACAACUUCAUAAAGUCAUGGAAUGGUGAAAGACUGACGUUUAUCGACACUGUAAGCUUAUAUAAUUUAUAUGUAUAAUAUCUUGUAGCCUAUAUAGAAAAAUAAUAAGUUAACUUAUUAUCUACCAUUCACAGAGGUCACGUUCACUAAGGACUGAAUUCAUAGUGAAUAUUUUGAAGAGCAGCACAAAUGAAUGUACAGAUAAUAUCUCUGGAGAACUCCAAGUUCUACUUCAACAAAUAAAUUAGCUGAAAUAUACGAGAUAUGAUUUUAUUGUGUCUUGUUAUACAUUAGCAUUUCCCAUAAUUGAAUGUGACUUAAACUAUUGAACAAUAUCGUUGUUUUGUUCUUUUUAAUUACACCCUAGAAUGAAACCGUCGUGUGCCACGGGCACUAUACUAGUGGUGAUAGUAGUCUGAUCUGCAUGUCAGAGAUGGGCAACUGAGAAAUACCGUGUUAUCCUUGUCGAGCGACAUCCCUUAACACAACAACCAAUCAUUUAUUUAUUCUGAGUACCUUACGGACCACAUUCAAGUCCAAAGUUAAUUCUAUCAAAUCUGAAGUACUUCAUUGGAUUGAAUCAAUAACAUAUUUCCCAAGGAACAGUUAAUCUAUUUAUAGAGAACAGUUAAUCCUUAGUGCCCGUGCUAACGCUACGGUUUUAUUUAAAAAAUACAUAUGAAAACAACCAAUCAUUUAUUUAUUCUGAGUAUCUUACGGACCACAUUAAAGUCCAAAGUUAAUUUUAUCAAAUCUGAAGUACUUCAUUGGAUUGAAUCAAUAACAUAUUUCCCAAGGAACAGUUAAUCUAUUUAUAGAGAACAGUUAAUCCUUCUAAAACAGGUCCAACAUCCUGUAAAAUUAUAGAGAACCAUACAUUUUUUUAAAUUCUUUUGCACCUUAAGCAUAUAGGGGAUUAUAUAAGCUCGAAACAUACAUAGUAGGUAAUUGUAAUUUAUGGACUUACUCAUUUAAGGAUUCAUCAUAGCAGAACAUGUUUAUAAACGAUAUUCUUGGUGCUCUUGCCUGUGGAAGCAAACUGGAAUAUUACUUUUUGAUUUAUGGCAAAGAUGCAGUAAGAUGCACAAUUAGUUGACAUAACAGUUCACCACAUAUAGCAAGGCAGAAACAUUCGGGUCUGAAUUUCUACUUACCUACACAAAAAUCAACUACAGGCAAGCAUCUGACCCCAUUCUAAAUCACAUACCUCCAAGAGGUAGAUAGUAUUGGAACUCCUCUUCUCAGUGGAAUAUCAUUGGACACCUAUAUUGUACGCAAAAGCAAAACACGAUUAAUUUACAUAUAGAUGGCCACAAGUGCACAACUCCGUGAUAACAGAGAGCUGAUGUUUCGGCUGCCACAAGAAGAAAAACUUUUGCACGUCGUUUUCACCAGCAUACCGAUCAAGUACUCCCAAAUAUGAAUCCCACCAAACUGAACGCUGAUCCAUUGUUCCAAGGCCACCACUGAAUAGCAACCGUGAGAGUCCUCCAAGAGGCAAGAUCAUCAACCCUCGCUACUCGUUGAGUCAUAAGGCAAACUCCAUCUCAGCUCGUUUCAGGACACGUGAAACCAUAGAGUAGAAUUCAGGUUCUUCUUCUUUUAUUGGGUCGAGUGUGGUGGAUUCAUGGGCAUCAGCCUGCAUAAAUAGGAGAAGGUGAACCAAUGGACAGGAAAAGCCCGCCAGUCAUUUCAUUUGCAACUAAGGAUGAAAACGGAACGGAAAUAUCCCGAACCGAACCGAACCGCUUUCUAUAUUGGAUCCGAUCGAAUUCGUAUUUUUUUGUCCGACUUUAUCGUUUUCGCUUUCGUAUUUUAGAUGUUUCGUAUUUCAAAUAUAAAAGUAGAAAACGGUUUUGACAUUUUUCGACCGUUUUCUACUUUUCUACUUUUAAUAUGAAAUAUUUCGAAUUCAAAAUUUGGUUUAAACCGAAUUUAGUCAACUGUAGGGUCACACAGUCUAAUUAUAGACUACUCACCAUGCAUCUGCGUUCUUUCUACUAGUGGCUAGUUGUGUUCAUGUUAGCUAUUAAUUGCUUAUUCUAGACUUGUAUUUAUGUGUGGGCUAUUGUAUUAAAUACCUAAGACUAAGAAGCAUGCACUUUUUAAUUAUUAUAUGCACUUGAACUUGAUCCUAUAUAUACUUUUAUAGUCAUGCACUUUUAUAUAUCAGUAUUUCGUAUUGAGUUUUCGUAUAUCGACCGUGUUCGACAUAAAUCCGAUCGAAUUGGUUCGUUUUCGAAAUUCUCGAUAUUUCGUAAGUUCGUGUUCGUUUUCGUGUCCGACUUUACCGUUUUCGUUUUCGUUUUCGUAUUUCAAAUGUAAAAGUAGAAAACAAUUUAGGAGUUUUUCGACAGUUUCCGACCGUUUUCAUCCUUAUCUGCAACAUAUGCCAUCUUGGAAUUCAACUUCAAUGUUCCAUGAGCAUUCGUGACUUGUUACCUCACUAAACUUGAGAAGUAUUAAGUUUGAGAUGCCAGCAGCCUUUGAUUUGUCCCACCUAUAACAAAGUAAUUACAGGAAUUAAUGUCAAAAAAAAUCUCAUCGAAAUUUAAGACAUUACCAAUGCCAAGCCACUUCAGAGUUACAAGCUAACAUAGCUAAUUAUCCAGACUUAAAAGAUGUCAGUCACCCUACGCUAGAGAUAAUGCAAGUUGGAUUUUGCUUUUGCUCUACCAAAUCAGAUAUGAUGGGAACUUAGGUAGUGCCACAAAAGGCACGAUGAUCUCAAGCCACACUAUCAGUUAGAGAAGGAAGCAUACCGAACAAGCAUUAGUUCAUUGACAGAUCUCCACAUUUUCCGACCCGUGUCCUUCUGACUUUGGUCUCUAGCACUUCGACCACGCCACAAUUCUUUGACAAUGUACAUUACCUCUUCAGAAUCUACCUUUAGAUUGUAAAAGAGAAUGUUACAAACGUAGACGUACAAAAGGAUAUCAAAACAAGUGAAGGUGAAUAAUCCCUUUUUCACAUGUGCUGGUCACCAUCAACAUAAAUAAAUAACACCUCAACUACAUAAUUCUCGAAGAAAAUAUCUUAUUUCCAGGAUAUGACAUUACAUAGCAAGAAACAUAGUACCAGAACUUGCUCGGCUGUCCCAUACAUCAGCUCCUCAUGCUCAAUAAGACGCUGAUGAAGUAUACGGUAAUGAUCCAAAUCCAGGUUAACAACUGGUUCAGUUUGAUAAUCUAAUCCAGCAAGCUGAGUAAUCACAUAGGAGGCUAUAACUUGACCAAAUAUUGCAGGUUAAGAUGGGACUUCAUAGUGGCUGCUCUGACAAGACUCAAUCUUCCCGCUCCUUUUAUAAAUCUCAUCUAUCAAUGUAUCUCUACCACUACUCUUUCUGUGCUGGUUAAUGGUGAGCCCUCUGCAGGCUUCUCGGUCACCAGAGGAAUAAGGCAAGGCUGUCCUCUUUCCCCUUAUCUUUUUGUAGUAGCUAUAAAUGAACUAUCAAUCUCUCUCCAAUGCCACUUGCAGAAUUCUAGACUUGCAGGUAUUUCCUUGGGGCCUGGCUGCCCCCCAAUCCACUCUCUCCUUUUUGCAGAUGACUUAAUCAUUUGUGGAAACGCCAACUUCCAGGAAGCUCAGACAAUACACUCGGCUCUUUAUGAUUUCUGUGAUCAAUCAGGUCAGACCCCCAACCUCAACAAGUCAUCCAUUUUAUUCAGUAAGAAUGUUCCUAAUCAAGUACGUAAUCAAAUUAAAUACAUUUUCCCAGUUCCUGAUCUAAACCCUAACACCAUUCACUUAGGUCACCCUCUGAUUUUUAAUCAUAAAGACAGGAACAAAGCAUAUGCUUUUAUCAAGAAUAAAUUUCAUGCUAAAUUCACCACUGUUAAAGCAAACAAAUUAAAUCACGCUGGCAGGCUCACCUAUAUUCAAUCUGUUCUCUCUGCCAUUCCUGUUUAUUAUAUGUCCACCAUCCUCUUCUCGAAAGCUUUUAUUGCUGAACUAACAACCAUCAUUAAAAGAUUUUGGUGGGCAGGAAUCCAGGAGAAAAAUGCAACUAACCCUAUCCAUUUCAGAUCUUGGGAAGAUAUCUGUCAAUCUCGUCAAAAUGGAGGUUUAGGCAUAAGAGAUCUUCAUCUUGUUAACAAAAGCCUGGCAACUAAUAAAAACCCUUUCUUACAACAAAUCAUCAAAGCAAAGUAUUAUCCCACCUCCUCAUUCUGGAACGCUACUAACAAUGUUCCCAAGUCGGCUUUCUGGUCUUCAAUUCUGCAGGUCAAACAGGAGCUAUCGGAAAGCGUGCAGCUUCAACUACAUCAAGGCAACAGUUCUAUUUGGUCAGCCCCCUGGUGUGACAUCUGGAAAUCCAUCCAUGAUCACCUGCUCAUCCCAGUCACAACUCUGCCUCUUCCAAGCACUGUAAAUCAACUCUGGUACCCAGGCACUCGUAAUUGGAACUUACCUCUUCUUAGUACCACUUUUGACAAUCAAGCUAUUCGCCAUAUCAUAAAUACCCCUACGGUUGACAGUACUGACAGUGACCUCCUAAGAUGGACUCCCGCUAAAGAUGGAUUAGGAACUGUUAAAGCUAUUUAUAAACAUCUCUCUAAUAACAACACUGUGAAUAUUCCUGCUACAGGUACAAGAAGCAUCACUCCACAAGCUAACACAAUUCUAUGCAGGGUCUGGAAAUGCAAAAGUAUCCCUCCUAUCAUUAAAACCUUCACCUGGCGACUCAUAAGAAGAGCCUUAGCCACAGCUGACAGGGCAACCAGAUUUUCAUCCCCAGGUAAUAACACAUGUGACAGAUGCAACAUGAUUGAAAAUGACUACCAUAUGUUCUUCCAAUGUACCCUCCCACGUCAGGUUUGGCUCACAGCCAACCCUUCCAUUAACACAGCUAAUCUUCCCCAUGAAAUUGAUGGUGUUCAAUCAACGCUAACCCUUAUCGUUAAUGAUACCACUCCUGAAGCUUUAUUAAGCAAAAUUCUUUAUACUCUUUGGUUCGUUUGGAAAGCCAGGAAUGACUACCACUUCAACAGAAAGGAUAGGAUAGCACCUCAAGUUCAUCAGGCCAUUCAAGCCUACAUGACCCAAAAUGAGCAAAAUCCCCCCACACAUCAUCUCAGUUUGCUCAAAACCAAGGUAAUCAACUAUCAGUUUUGCAGGCACACCUCCAACAGCCAACAAUGCACUACUGCCCCUUCCCAGCAAACCUCCAGGGCUCAAGAUGUUAUGUUGAUGCCGCAGUAACCUCUGAUGAUCAAAACAUAAACACUAACAUUGCAGGUCUAGGCAUCUUUAUCCUAAAUUUUCAGGUUCAGCCGCUCCAAGCCAUCUAUGUCCAAGCUCAACUUCAGCACUGCCACUCCGUUCUCAUGGGUGAAGCUGCAGCCCUAGCUCUUGGAGCAUCUAUUGUCCAGGCUCUUCAAAUUCCAUAUUGCAACUUUCUUUCAGAUUCCCAGCAACUGGUGCAUUUCCUCCAUCAGGAGAACCAACAGAACCCGCCCCAGUGGAGAAUCAAACCGUUUACACAGGUUUUCACCAAUACUGCAACCACACUUCAAACUCAGCUCUUCAAGAUCAACCGAAAUCAAAAUACAACAGCUGAUACUUUAGCGAAGCAGGCCCGUAGCUCCAUGCCUACAUUUUAAAGCUGUAAUUGUACCGGGCCUCAUUGUGGCCCCAUUUGUACUUUGUUCCAGGCUCUACUCCAGGUAGACCUCAACUCUGUAACCAUCUUAGCAGCUUCUUGCUGCGGGUAAUAAAUUUUAUUGCAAUUGUCAAAAAAAAAUAGUACUGGUAUAAUGCGAACCCUAAAUCCUGGGACAAUCUGUGGAAUAAUGCAUAGCAUGUUGUCAAUAGUUAUGUACACACACAUCAUGCACUCCUAUAAUAUACAAGCAAAUGGGUGUUCUAGAGGAAAUUUAAUUAACUCUUUGUAACAAAUAUUUCUUGUUCAAAAAAUCACAAGGAAAAAAGGUCUCAAGAAAUGGAACAAGCAUGUAGCAGGAGGGUGGUAAUACAAGUCCUAGGGGAGCUCACCUGGUAAUCUGAUGGAGUUUCCUCUUCUUUUGAAGCUUGAAAAGGAAGCAGCUUUGCCUUUGGCUUUUCCAAUGAAAAAACUACUGGUAUUCCACCCUCAAUUCCAUGUUCUUUCUUGAGCCUGUACCUCACCUAAAAGUAGCAAUCACAACAUCCCAUUUGCAGCACAUCUUGACAUGUCAGUUAGCUGACGAAUGAAAUGGCAGCUUACAGUGGGACAGAGUUUUGGAAGAAGUAUCAAACUAACCGAUCGAGAGAGGGGAUCAUUGCUUGAUUCUCUCAAAUCUGCAACACGAAUUCUGGUGGGAUCAGCUCGAGCUCCAGCCCCCAUUGCAGAAAGUACCUUCAAACCUCUGCGCACGCAAGCUGCAAGGAGUGCCACCUAAGGGGCAAGGAUAUUUGAACGGUUACAAAAAAAUGAAGACAAACAUUGACAAGCUUACAAAUGAUAUAUUCGUAACUAAUGUUCAAUGAAGCCAUUCGGGCUAAAAAAACAGGUUUCAACUGUCUAUGCAGGGUGGCUUUGUGUACCUUAAUCAUCAGAUACAGAGGUAAGGGAAAUUUGAGUUUACCUGUCCGCGUUCCGUCGUCGUGCCCUGGCCGCGCUCCGACGUCGCGUCCCGGCUGCCCCGGCGAGCCCCUGACCACUCGCCCCGGCCACCCGGCGAGCCUCGGCCGCGCGUCCCGGCCGCCCUGGCCACGCACCGCGGCAAGCUCUGGCCGCCCACCCGCCCUGGGGAGCCCUGGCCGUGCGCCAUGGCCAGCGAGCGCUGGCCACGCUCGCCCUGGCCAGCGAGUCCCGGCCGCGCGCCUGCCCCGUCGAGCCCUCGCCGCGCUCGCUCCGGCUGUCUUCCUUGUGCGUCGCGGAAGCCCUGGCCGCGGGAGAUCUGGCCGCGCGCCCGCGGCGGUCGCCCUGGCCGUGCGAGCCCUGUCCGGCGCGCAGUGGGCGCGCGCCCGCCCUGGCGAGCCCUAUGCGUCCCGGCGAGUGAGCCCCGGCCGCACACCUGCCACGCUCGCCUUGGCCGGCGAGCACCGGCCGCACGCCCGCCCCGGUGACCCCUGGCCGCGGUCGCCCUGGCUGGCGAGCACCGGCCGCGCGCUCGCCCCGGCGACCUUGGCCGCCCCUGGCCGCGCUCGCCCUAGCUGCGCUCGACUUCGCCGUGAACUAUUGAUCCUGGAAGAAAAAAAUAUACAAAUGCAGGUGUCUGGGCUCGAACCCGCGACGUGGCUUCUGAAGGCGCAGGCUCGCGCGCGUGUGAGAGAGGAGAGUUGGAAGCGGCUUCUAACAUCUUAAUCUGAGACGUCCGAUUUAUUGGGCGUGUGUUAACAGUCGUUGAUUUUGAAGUAGGGAGGUGACUUGAUUUCAAUUAUAGUAGAGAUAGCUCUAACUUUACAUUACAAGACCAACGCCUACACAUCUAGCGGGCACUGAGGCUUUGUUUAAUUCGCGAAAAGAAAUCUUUUAAGUAUUGUAGGACAUUUCUGAUUAUGCAAUUAAUAUUUAAUCACUAAUUAAGCUUAAAAGAUUUAUCUUGCAAAAUAUAUAUAAAUUGUGUAGUUAGUUAUUUAUUUUAAUCUAUAUUUAAUGCUCUAUGUAUAUGUUCAAACAUUCAAUGUGAUGGGGCAAAAUAUUUUUAGAUGGGAACUAAACAAGGCAUGAGAAUUGAAGGGCAACCACCAAAGGGCACACUAUCGGGGUUUUACUUAGUUAAAUCUUGAGCCGGGAUUAUGCUAGAAUCGAACAACACUAGCUAGUAUAGUGCCCUAGACAGAUAAGAGGUCGGACCCAUUAUUAAAGAAGUGAGAGGCUGGAUACGUUUGAUGCGGGAGUGCAGCGCGCAUCUCCCAAGUGAAGACAAAUGGUAAUAGUGUGACGGAUACUUUAGCUUUAUAUGCUAGAAAAUUUAAACACUUUGCGGCUUGGUUGGGUCAAGCUCGUGCGUGUGCCUUGAACUCAAUCAAUGUUGAUUGUAAUUCCCCUGUUUCUAGCUAAUAAAGCUUUCUCUUUACUCAAAAAAAAACAACGAUGCCUUCAGGAAUUCAUUUUGCUCCUUCUCUCACUACUAGAUGAAAUAUUUUGCGAGGCCUUUUGAAAUACACCUCCGAGGCAGGCAGGAUUUUCAACCGCCUCGGUUAAUAUCUACCAUUAAUCGAGGCGGUUAUUUUUUAUUAACCGAGGCAUUUACAAAAACCACCUUGUAAAAUCGAUUAACCGACGCGAAGAACUUAAAAAUGCCCGCCAUGAUUAAUAUCGAUUAACCGUGGCAGUUGUUGUAAAGUGACUGUCUCGGUAAAUACAUUAACCAAGACGGUUACAUUACAAAGCCCGCCUCAGUAAAUAUUUGGCCCAUACAGCCCAUCUAGGCUCGGUAACGGGUUUCUAAUAUAUACGUGAGCACAACAAACCCUAACUCCACUCCUCCCCUCCCUCGCUCUCAGUCGUGCAGCAGCCCAUCCCCUCGGCGUGAACAGACCGAGCUUUUUCUCAAGCUUCUCUUCCCCAGCCGUGCGUCGUGCCCCAUCCCUGCCCCGUUCCCAUAGCCGGCGGCCUCCUCUUGAGCUUCCCUCCCGUCAGCGCCCAUCUCCCUCCCUUAUUCCCAACCACGACAGCAUGUAGGCUGGGUGCGCGGCGCGGCACCCUCUCCCUGCGGUGGCUCAGGGACGUGGCCCCUCCAAUGGGGUACGACGUAGGUGGCGCGACCCCUCUAGCGGCGUGGCGCGUGGAGCGUGUCCCCUCUAACGCUGGCAAGACCGAGGGGACGCAACUCCUCUCGACUCCGGCGGCGGCGCGGGGGGCGCGGCCCCUCCUCUAUCUAUGGUGUGAGGCCGGAUCUGGCUUCUCCAGCAUGGAUCUGCGCGUAGGGCAGCUAAAUCCGAGCGGCAACGGCGCUCUUGGCGUGGAUCUGGCGUGGGGCGGCGGCGGCGCUCCUCCUGUGAUGGCGGCUGUCCAGCGAGGACCAGCGAUGACAGCGACCCAUGUAUGGGCUCGACGGGCUUGUGAUGGGCUCACCGGGCCUAGCCAUGGAUUUUUUUAUUUGAUUAACCGAGGCGGGCAGCAAAACGCCUCAGAAAAUACCUCCAUUUAUUAUGACCUUUCAUUCGAUGUGUUUUUGUUGCCCGCCUUGGUAAAUAAAAAAUGCUCGUCUUGAAAAUGAUUUUCCGUAGUAGUGUCUUCGUGUCUUCGCUUUCGGGUUUUACUUGGUGUCUUGAACUCGUAUAGCAUGUCUUGUUUGUUCUCAACGGUAGCUCUAGUGUCUUGUUCGAGGUGCUGAUCACUCCAACCUUCAGAGUGCCUAAUUCCAAGCCAACCUUACAUCCAAUGAACUAAACCUAACAGGUUUUUGGCUGUUGAUUACAGCUGCUGUCAAGAAUAGUUAGCAAUUAUUCCGCUGGUAAGGGCCACAGUAUUCAAAGAAUUUAUAAACAAUAAUAUCCUCGUGCUUGUGCCCUCGUGAGCUGCACAUUUAUUAAUGUGCUCUAUCUUUCGCGCAUUCCCAUUUGAACUGGCAAAGGCCAGAUUGUGGUAUGUCUAGCGCAAAUGCAUGCGUCGUUAAUAAAUUUUAAAGAUGUAGAAGAGGACAACUUUAACGUUCAUAUAUUACGAAUGGGUUCACUUUUACCCCCCUCUAUAAAAAAUAUCGAACUGUUUAAGCUUUGUCUUAAGUCAAAUUAAACUUGGGUACCUUUAACUUUACAUGAUACAACGCGGUAUUAAUUUAUUUCAUCUCUUCAACAUGAUAAAGCGUAUUUAUCUUUUCUUUUUGAACAUUAAGCGUAUCAAUGAAAAAAUUCCGGCCUCUGCAUUACAAUGUUACCAGCUUAUAUUGUUAAUCUCUUGAAUAGUUCAACGAUUCUUAUCGCAAAGCAAUUAAGUUCAAACAACAGAAAACCAAAAGUAGGCGACAACAUGGAGUCAUUAUUAGUCAUCAAGCACGGAUUCGGGCAUAUUAUAACAACAAUCUAAAAGCAUUUCAUCUUCUCAUAACAGGCUAUCAUUGCAACACAUUAUGGACGGUCGGCCAUUAUUGGAUGAUCGGGCAGCUCGAAGUUGCGUUGCCUGUCUGCUGUCGCCCUAGCUUAGCCAAUGUAGUACAAGGGGUCGGGCAGCUUGAAGGUGCGCGCACCCUCCGGUGCGCCAAGGAUGUCGCUCCACUGGUCGCCGAUGUUGCCGACGAUGACGUACCCAGCGUUCUGGAGCUUCUGCCGUGCACCGGACUUGUAGCCGAUGGCGGUGCCCUUGAAGCCGAUGGGCUUGAGCAGCAGAUGCAUCCAGCCGGAGUAGCCCUGGCGGCGGAGGUUGGUGACGGUGAUGGCCCUCUGGUCCUCGGUGCGCCCCGUCAGGAACACCGGCUUGAUGCCGAGCGAGAUCAGCUUCUUGAAGAGCCGCUGCGUCUCCGGCAGCACCGGCGCGCUCCCCUCCAGCACGUACUCGUUGAAGCUCGUCGCGUUGUAGGGCUUAGUACUGUGAUCAAGAAAAGAAACACAUGGAUUCGCAGGUUCGUUAUAAUUAGCACAUAGCGUGUUAGUUUUAAUUUAUUACGUCAGUGUGAAUGGAAAACUAUAUAUGUACAUGGAUACGCACGUACCCGAAGCCGUGUUUGGCGUAGUAGGGGAGGUUGGAGAGCGAGGUCUCGUCGAUAUCGAACACCCACACCUCCUUGCCGUUGCCGGCGAGCUUGAGCCCCUCGGCGUACGCGAUGGCCUCGUCGGCGACGACGCGGGAGUCCAGGCGGUAUUGCCGGCCGAGCAUGUAGUGGCCGACGUAGUGCUCGCAGUUGGCGGGCACCGUCUUCCAGUCGCGCUUGUUGUAGGCCUCCACGGCCAGGCGCCAGCUGUCGCACGGCACGCCGGCGCGCCGGCCCAGGUCUCCGGCGGAGCCUACCAGCGGGUGCAGAGCGUGGAUCAGCGGCGCGGCCAUGCCUUCCUGGAGACGGGCCGCCGCCUCCUCUAUCGCACGCGUCG